CCUGGAAAACAGAAGAACACACACCUAUAUGUAUCGUCGAUCAUCCUAAGCCUUGCAUCCUCCUCAAUGUUAGCACGACCACCUGAAUCCAGUUGUUGAGCAUUGGUGAAAUGAAAUUUGAAGACACCCUCUUUGGAAUUUGACAAGUUUCGAACAAGAGAAUUUGACAUCACUCUUCUAACGGAUGGGCAAUCCAAUGCCACUAGUUGUUUUAGAAAUGGUGGAAUCGGUGGGAUGCAUUCAAGCUUUUCGCAUUCGCUUAAAUCAAGCGAUUUCAAGCUCGAAAGAUGAGCAAAGCUCUCAGGAAGGCUCACGAUUCCGCUAUCACGCAGUGAGAGUUCCAUUAAUGACGUCAAACGACCAACAUGUCUUGGGAUUUCUGUUAAUUUGGCACACCCUGAACAAUCAAGUUUAGAGAGAAGCUUCAGAUUAACAAUGGAGUUUGGAAGUGACUCGAGAUCAAUGCAUUUGCGGAGCUCCAGGGAUCGUAGAUUAACCAAAUUGGCAAAUGAGGAAGGCAGUUCUUUAAUAGCCGUAGAUGUUAAGUUAAUGUGAGCAAAAGUAGGAGCCGGCUCCGUGAUAUCUGGGUAGGUCCUCAGGCUUGAGCAACCACACAAAUCAAGCUUCCUCAACUUCAAAUUGAAAAUGGUGCUUGGAAAAGUUUGAAGUGAAUUACAGUGGGUAAGGUCUAACUUGCAUAGUCCGGUGAGGCUUCCAAUGGAAGAUGGAAUAAUCUCAAGAUUCAAGCAACGGUGCAAACUCAGUUCUUCAAGCCCUACCAAACGUGUCCAAGAUGAAGGUAGUGCCUGUAUGGCUGUGUCGUCUAAGAUGAGCACCGUUAAAUCUUCCAACGUGUCCUGAAUCUCGGGUAAAUUUUCCAAUUUUGAGCAACCCCGGAGAGAAAGUUGCUUUAGGAAUUUCAUAUCAGAAAGAUGAAAUGGAAAGAUUGUAAGAGAAGAACAGUGAGAGAGAUCUAAGCGAUAGAACUGCUUGCGACUAAAGGUUAAGGACACACCUUCCUUGAGUUUUGUGAACACUUUUAAGUGUAUGGUAUUAUUAGCCACUUCUUCUUCCUUAUAUCUGUCAAAAGUAAUUGAGAAAAUUUGACUGGAAGUUGGGAAAAGACCAUGGCGUCGACGUUUACGACGCCGUCGUGAGAAAUUGAUCUCUUUCAUCAUAUCCGGUUCCAGACGAGGGAAUCUUGAGAAAGUUUGACGUUGACGCUCGAGUAUGACAUGAGGGAAUCUGGGUUCACUGGUUGAAAACAUAUUAAGCUUCGGACAACGGGAAAUAUUAAUCCAUCCUGGUGAUGUGGAUAAAAUGUUGCUGGGAAUAUUUACACUUUCGAGAUUAGAACAAUUAUCUAAACAUAAAUAACUGAGCUUGGUGAGGAAUAUCGAGGAGUGAACUUCAAUCAACUUUUCACAAGAACUCAGAAUUAUUUCUUCAAUAUUUGGUGACAUAGAAAGGUCUGGUAUUCUAGUAAGUUUCAGAGAACCAGUCAGGUCGACCCUUUUCAACUUGGGUAAAUUCUGCCACAAAUACUAAAUGAAUGAGGUAACAAAUAAAAACUACUUUAUCUAUUUUUCUUCGGUAAACUAAUUUAUUUUUCAGAAAUGAUGAAAAUUAUAACUAAACUAUAUAAAAUUCCAUUUUAUUCUACUCAUCCUUAAUUUUUUUGUGAAAUCUUGAUUUUGGGAUAAUAUCACUUAAACUUAAGAAAUAUUUGGCAUUAAUGAACUCUAAACAAAUUCAUAUAAGAUAUACAUCACUUUCAAUCCAAAAUCUUAAACUAAUAGGUUUAUGAAUUUUCUUUAUAUGUUGUUUUAAAAAGUUGAGACUAAAUUGAACUUUUGAAAAUUGGGAGGAUGAAAUUAUAUUUUGUCUAUUAAUAUAGGGAUUAAAAAAAUAAUUGAAUCAAAUAUUACUAUUUUUGUGAUGUAUAUUUAUAUAUAAAUAAUUUUGAGAAUUUAGAGUUAUAUCAUAUAUAUAUAUAUAUAUAAAAUUCUUUUUGGUAAUGUAUCCUGUAAUUGUAAGCAAGUAUGAUUAUAUUAAGUGGGUGCGUUUCAAAUAGAGGAGACUACGCACAUACAAAUAUCUCUUAUAAAGUAAGAAAACAAACAAACCGUUACUCAAGAAGAUCAUGUAAUGCAUGACAGACAACAUGGGGAGAUAUCUAUCAUCAAUAAUAAAACGAUGUUUUCUGAGAGUUAAAAUUAAACCUUAUUUAAAAUAAGUCCAUCUUUCCAUAUUUUAUAAUUUGUUGUAUAUUAUAUUGAAGUUUAUGUUAUAAUAAAAAAAAUGACUUAAUUAAUCAAAUAAUGUGGAGAAGGCACAAAGGAAUUGCAAAUGAAAACCAGUAGAUGUAUAAUACAGAAAACAUGCUUGUAUAACUUAUUUUUGUCUUUGAAAGUUUAGAACACAAAGAAACAUAGAUAGCUUGAAAAACCUGAUCUCCUUCCCAAAGUUGUUCAAGAUUGCAGCCUGGCAUUUUGAGGGUCACUAGACUUUGUGGGCAAAAGUUUGGAGGCCAAAAUCUUUGAAGGAAAUUGUCCCAAUAAAGAAUCUUUAAAGUGUCCGGCAGAUCUACAAGAGAUGAUUCAAGAGACUCAUAAGAUUGUCCAUCUUUUCGAAACUUUGUGCAUGUACUACAGCAUCUUUUACUUUGUUCGUAUGUAGUAAUAUACACUGUAUUGCAUCUGACCCCUGAAAGUAAAUCAAUGUAAUUAGAAGAAAAAAACAUGAAAUGUUGCAUUGCAGGAUGUUUGAUGACAGCUCAGUGGUUUGCAAUUUUUCACAAAGUAAAUCCAUGUUCAAUUGAGUAACGACAUAAUACCUUGUUCUUUCUUAAAACCUCUCAAAUUUCCUCAGCAUUAAACAAUCGGCUGCGUUUUCCAGGAUGCUGAGGACACUCUUUACGAACAAUUUCUUGACUCAUUUCUUGUAUUAGAUCGUGCAUCACAAUUCUACCAUCAAAGACAGAUAUUAGGCCCCUAUCUUUGAGAAUAUCCAUUCCAAUCUUAGAAGAGAAACCACAGUCAGCAAGUGUUUCUGCUACCACAAUCUCCUGGCGUCCUCUAUAAAAGCAAGCUAUGUCAAGAAAUAUAUUCUUCUCCUCCUCCUCCAGCCCAUCAUAACUUAAUUUUAAUACAUUGAAAAUAUCAAGAUGUUGGCCCUUUUCCAACUUUUGCAACUGACUCUCCCAUGCUUCUCUUGUUCUGCCAUAAAGCAAUGACCCCAAAAUCUAGAGAGCUAAUGGAAUCCCUUUUGCAUAUCUCAACACCUUUUCUGACAGUUCCCUGUAAGCAAUUUCUUCUGAAGAUUUUUGUUUAAAAGCAAGUAAACUAAAAAGUUUCUGAGAAUCAUCAAAAUUCAACUCCUUAACUUCGUAGAUAUCAUCAGCUCUAGCAUUCUUAAGCACUUGUUUGUCUCUACUGGUGAUAAUCAUUCUACUGCCCUGCCCAAAACUAUCACUCCCUCCUAUUAAUUUUUUAAGUAGAGCUGAAUCGGUAACAUCAUCAAGAAUGAGGAGAGCCUUUGUCCGUUUCAGCCUUUCAUUGUAAUAUGAUAAACCAUGGGAUUUCUUUAUCUCUUCCUUUAGAAGCUCAGACAGAUAUUUUGUUCUGAUACUGUCUAUUCCAUCUUUUUGUAUUUUUUCUUGAACGUCUAAAACAAGGCUGCUGGAACCAAACUGCAAAGCCAAUGUGUGAUAUAUUUGAUAACAAAUUGUAGUUUUUCCUAUUCCUCCCAUGCCACAAAUUCCUAUGAUCCGAACAUGCGGUGACUCAAGAUGCAACAAGGACUGAAUUCCUUCAAUGUGUUUUUCAAUGCCGAUGAUUCCUUGAUCAUAACUGGUGGAAUAACGAUUCAAUUUUCUCAAAAUAUCUUCCACAAUUUCUUCAACAAGUGUGUGUUCUGGCCUGGCAGAUGAUUUAGAAAAUAAAGUAUAAGUAUUCAAGCACAAAAGCUAAACUAAACUAAAGAAAAAAUCAGAGUUAAGAGGAGUGAACAUCAUUGAAUAGAUUCACAUAUCGAUUCUAGUUUCGAGUUUUGGAUAAAAUAAAUAAAUUAAAAAGUUGAAGGUAAGUAUAGGACGUUAUCUUCGUAUAUUAGUUUGGUUGGUUUAGAAAUUGCAAAUCAAGAUGGCAAAAAUACUACAGUAACCGUUUGUGACUUCUGAUAAUAGGGAGCAGAUUUGUAGGUACAAAGUUAAGCUAUAACAUGUGAUAUGGUUCAGAUCCAUGACCGACUAAAAGAAAGACUUGAUUUAUGGUGAGAUGAACACAAUUUUAGUAAAUGAAAAGAAAUCCUGUUUAUCUCGAAAUUAUCUAAUAAAUAUAAUGACCUGGUGACUUUUGAAUCCCAGCCUGAAAGUCCAGCAGCUUCGGUGAGAGCAUCCUUCCAUCCUUGCGCUUUGACCAUGUCGUGCAUAAACCGCUGUUCAUGAUCAUCGAAUGAUUCUUUGUAUCUUUCUUCCUGCUUCCUAAUAGUUGAUGGAUCCACCUUGUAGAAAACAGGUAUCACAUCCCUUCCAAAUCUCUUCUUGCAUUCAAGUAUCUUACUGAGUUCAUUCAAGCACCAAGUGGAAGAUGCAUAGUUUUGGGAGAAAACGAUGACAUAAAUCUUUGAUUCUUCUAUUGCAGAGAGCAGUGCAGGUGAAAUUUCUUCGCCCCUGAGUAGUCUAUAAUCAAUAUAUGCUUCAAUGUUCUUCCUUUGCAGUGCUGCAUAAAGGUGGCUAAUGAAGUUGUCACGUGUGUCUUCGCCUCUGAAGCUGAGAAACACAUCAUGCCUUGUUAGAGAAGUAGACACGGCCAAUGAUGAAGGACUUUCUGACAUUGGAGUCAAUUUUCUCUCCUUUCUCUGCAAUUCUCAGGUCUCUUUCUUUGUACUGUUUCUACCACAAAUCUACUCUGCUGCUCUGGACUCAUUAUAAAACACAAGUCAACUUUUGAAAAAGUCUUUCAAUUUUCUUAACAUUCCUUUCACAGAUAUGUGUUCUGGUCAGACAUCGUAGUCAGCAGAAACUAAAGAAAAAGAAAAAUAUUAAUUUAAUAGAAUAGUCAACAAAUUGCAAAAUAAGUAUGGAAUCUAGAUUUAUAUCAUUAUCACGUGUGGAAACAUAGCUACGUCUUCUUAGAUAAAAUCCUUAUUUAAGUUUUAAUUGGGCCUUGUAGUGGGCUUUGUAAUCUGCUUUUCUUUUCUCCUAUAUUGCUUUAUAUAUACACCUCCACUUUUGCUUUCUACAUUUCAUUUUACAAAAUACAUUCUCUCAUUCUGUGUCAUUUAUCUUGCCUGAUUCCGUCCUCUCUUUAUCUUUUUCUCUCAUCCUCUUGCUUAUAAUUCUUUUGUUUUUAUUAAGAAAUACACUAUAAUUCUAAUUUAAUCAUAUACUAUAAUUAUGCUAAUCAUCAAUUAGUACUAUAUAUUAUUAAUGAUCUGCGUAUAUAUUAUUUAUGAUUUGCGGAUAAGACAAUAGAUUCAAUAAAUUCUAGAUAAAAUAAAUUUUAAAUGAAUAUGAUAAAAAUAUAUUAAAAAAUGAACUUUAUUGAAUCGAUUGAGUAUCUCUAUUUUAAAGACUUGUAAGAAUAAUAGGAAUAACAAUAUAUUAAUAUUAAUAUGUUUCUUAAUAAAUUUCAUACCCACUAUCUAUUUAUAAAUUAAUAUAUUAUAAAUAUCUAAUGAUGUCUUAUUUCUCUAACAUUUAAAAUUAAAUUUGUAGAUUCUACAAAACAUUACAUUUUGAUUUUAAUAUUUAUAAAAUAUUUUUUAUUCUCAUAUUUAAAAAACAAAACUUAGUUUGAGUGUAUUCCUUAGUUACUUACUACUCAUCACCAGCCGCCAACAGCGUGAUGGCUUCACUCUCCGUUCGCGCCACAACCACCUCUUAUCGGGCCUCCUUCCGGCCCAAGCCCACCUCGGGGCCCACCAGGGUCCGAAUGUCCCUCCGCGAUGACGGCCCCGCCAUCGCCGUCGUCGGCGUCACCGGCGCCGUUGGCGAGGAGUUCCUCUCCGACCGCGACUUCCCCUACCGUUCCAUCAAAAUGCUGGCCUCGCAGCUCUCCGCCGGCCGCCGCAUCAUCUUCGAGGACAGGGACUACGUCGUGGAGGAGCUCACAGCGGAUAGCUUCGACGGCGUCGACAUUGCGCUCUUUAGCGCCGGCGGUGGUAGACUAUAGCUCCGCAUUUGGGAUGGACGAGAAGGUGACGCUGGUUAUUCCCGAAGUGAAGCCCCAAACGAUGCAACACAUCAAAGUUGGAACGGGAAAAGGCGCUCUGAUUGCGAACCCUAAUUGCUCCACCAUUAUUUGCUUGAUGGACAUACUAAUUAAUAUCAAUUAUAACAAAUAAUGAACGUUUCUGGUCAUUUCUUGUACUUCGCGUUAUUUCAUAACAGUAGUUUUUUUAAAUAAAUUAAGAAAAAUAUUCAUUUUUAAAUUUAAUGCACUUUUAAAUAAUUUGACUAUUAUAAACAUAAUCACUUAUAAAAAUAAUUUUAGAGUAGUUGAUAUAAUUAAAAUAAAAUAUUUUAUUAUUAAAGUAAAAAUUAUAUAUAAAUAAAAAAUAGGUUUUAUUUUAAAAUAAUAUUCAAUUUUAUAAAAGUUUUUUCUUUUUGUCUUUUUUUUUUUAUAUUUCUAACCAUAUUUUUUCGUGAGGUUGAUAAUAGAAUCUCACUUUGGAUUUAUGGGAAUGAAUAAUGAAUUAGUUUUUAGUUUUCUAUUUAUCUAUAUAUAAAGGUGAUACGGUGACAAAUUCCAAAAUUUUAUUAUAAUGUUUGCUUUGUUGAUUGAAAUAGAUGUUAAUUGAUGAAAAAGAUUGAAAGUUUUAAACCCAAUACACCCCUCACGUCGAGGUUAGGUGGACUGAUAAGUUCAGCAAAAUCUCGUUAUGAUAGUUUUUAGAUGACUCUGAUACCACAAUAAAAAAUAAACUUUAAAUUUAACUCAACCUUACAAAACUAAUUUAUAAAGUGAGCUAUGUAUCCCUAGUCGAUGUAGAAUCUCUAACAAUGAUUUAAAUGAAUUGUUAUAUGCUUUAUGAAGUUUAACCUUUAUUUUUACUUGACAAAUUGGAUUUUAAUGAGGUAUAUAUGCUCUCAGCAUCAAAUCCGCUUAACGAAAUUUAUAUGUGUCAAGCGAAUUUGGACAUGUAGAGUUUGAUGUGCUCUUGGCCUCAAAUCCGCUCAAUGUUUUUUUUUCCUGUACUUAAGCAAACUUACAUCCAGAUUUUGGAGUACUUUCGAACUCAAAUUUGCUCAAAGAAAUUUUCUUAUGGUAAGCAAAUUUAAGCGGCUAUUGUUUGGAUGUUCUCUGCCUCAAAUUCGUUCAGUGAAAUUUUCCUGUGCUAAGGAGAUUUCUCUGGGCUUAAGCCCCAACUUCAUGGGCUCGACCCAUUUUGACGACAUUUGUCAUCUUUGCUUAGAUAUCUUUUGGUUUGUUUUCUAUAGGUCAUGAAAUUGAAUUAAAUCUUUUGAAAUUUAUCAUUUUGUAAAUUGUAAGUGAUUACAACUUUCUAAUGUUCAUGCAACAUGUGUUUAAAAUAAGUAAAUCUAACAAAUAAAUACUCGUUACAUAUUCAAUGGAAAGCUUUUUCUUUUAAUUCUUUGGUGUUUUAUUUUGAUGAUGUAUAUAUUUGAAAAUCAAUGUAUGAAUGGAUAAUGCUUUAUGAUAUAAUAAUAUUACAAUGUAAAUGUUAUUUAUAUACUAUCACAUGAUAAAUUAAAAUUUAAUAAGAUAGUUAAGGAUGUUAUAAUUAUUCUUUUAAUUUAUUUUAUUUCACUGUAUAUUUAGGUGUAUUACGUAGAAUGUAUAGUUAAAAAAAUAAUGUUAUUUUGAAAUUUAAAGAAUGACGUAUAGAAAUAAACAAGCUUUUGUUAAAAUUAUACUAUUUGAAAAGGAACACAGAACAAUAUUGACAAUUAUACUUUUACUUAUUACUUAUUUUAAUUUAUUAUAUUCAUGAGUAUUAUUUUUUUUAAACAUAGAUAUUGGAUAAAAAAUAUAAAUAACAUUUAUUUAUUUCAAAUUUAAAAAUCUUUAAAAUAAAAUUAAAUAAUAUUUUUAAUUAAGAUGUGUUUUUUAACAAUUUUUUUAAUUUAAAAAAUAAUUAAUUCGGAGGAUGAUUAAAGAAAUAUUAACAAAUUAUUUCUGCGUUUAUAAUAAACCUUCAAUAAUAUUUGUACUUUCUAGCAUAUAGAAUACUUAAUGGAUCCCUUUGUGAUUUUUCUUUUCUAAAGUGCAAUUGAUAUUUUAAAUGUUUUUCUAUUUAAUUUUCCUUUCUUAAUGACACAUUAAAGGGUUCAGUGCACGAUUAAUUAUUCUCACCUUAGAUUUCAUUCAUCUCAUUCCAUUUCCACACUCAAAUCAUUCUCACAUUUUUUUCUACCUAUUUCACAAAGUUUUAUGUAAAAUAUGGAAAUUAAACUAAAAGAACCCUACUUAUAUAUUAAUAUUCAACAACUUAAAAUAUUACUAUGCAAAUUAAUCUUUCUUAAUAAUGUUAUGUAAAAAUUAAAAUGUAGUUUAGUCAUUCAUACUUAGAUGGAUAAAGAUGGUUUUAGAAAAAAAAUGCAUUUUAUUUCAAAUCUAUUACUUAUAAAAUGAGUUAUAAAAUGAGGUUUGUGAUAUUUAUUCAAAAUUUAAAUUAUAUUAUGCAUUUAUGGUUUUAUGUUUUUAAAGAAAUCAGAAACUUAGAAAAGCUCCUAAAAACUACUGAAAUCCAUAAGAUGAUAAUUAAUAAACAUCCUCUCUUAAUAACAUAACAUAUAAGAUAGGAGUCUUUACACUUAUAUUCUUCAAACAAUUAUAAGCUGUCUUCAACUUUACUGUUAAACUACAAUUAUAAAGAAUUAACAAUCUCACACACCAACAACAUUUAUAAGCCAUCACUCACAUGAAACAAGGUGCCUCAAUGUGAAAAAACCAAGAUCAAUAAGAAAUGAGGUUCCACUUAACCAAGCUGAGAAUUUUCUGGUUUUCCAACUCCAUGCACAAACCUAAUACAAUGAUAUGAUAUUCAAUCAGCAUUAAUUGGCAUAAACAGGUACAUUGUUGUAAAACUGGGAUUAUAAGGUUCCAUAGGAUGGAGAAAAGUAAGAAGAGGAUUUACCAAUUACCCUUUCAAAUGGAGCUCCUCAGGAUUUCAUAAUGCCUUCACUGCAAAUGCAACCCAAAUAUGCUAAAAAAGUUAAUGAAACUAUAUAUGAAGAGUUUCAAGAAAAUGCAACUCUGGGACAACAGAGAAACCCAUCUCAUGCUGAACAGAAACAUCAAACUAUAUCUAACAAUAACUUAGAAAUCUUUGUCAACAAUUGAACGAACCCACUCCUAAAAUGCCAUUGAAAAUGUAAAUAAAACAAAAUAAAUUAAAAACGAGAAAUUCAUAAUAAAAAUUCAACGUGUUGAAACUUAUGAUAACUCAGUUUAGAUCCUGACCAAUGAAAGACUAAUUAGCAGAAGAGGAAGAGACUAGUUGACAGGGUAGCUUUCGGCCUUUCUCUUCCUAUCUUUCCUUGUUUCUCUUGAAGACUGUGCAACAUUGCUUCCACUGGAUUCUUCAAUGUCAACAUCACCACCAUAUUUAUCAUCUUUCUUUUUGGUAUAAAGGGGGCAUAUGCCGCAUUCUUUUAUUGUGAUGUCUGAUGCCAUCACUCUCACACCUGAUUUGUAACUAUACAGACUGAUCUCAAAAGUGAAGCUGCGAGCAUCACAGACCCUAAGGCUCUUGCGGCUCGCCGUUAGGGACUCCAUGUUAAAUUUCCACACGAAUGUGUGAUCUUCAUCAACACAUCUGUGUUCACCAUUCCAUUUGAAAUAGCUGUUUAACACAUCAUUAUUUAGAAUGAUCUGUGUGCCAUCAUCAUCAUCAGAUUCAAAUUUUAGACUGUAACCAAAAGAACCAUAUCUACAUUUAACAGCUUUCGUAUCUAACACUCCAAAAACCACACACAAAGCGAAACCAGUGAGCCUAUCAUCGCUGCAGAAACUUAAAUCUUCAUUUAUAGUCACUGAAUGUCCCUUCCCACGAGAAUGGAACCAACGAGGAACUGCAUUCCCUGGAAAACAGAAGAACACAGACCUAUAUGCAUCGUCGGUCAUCCUAACCCAUGCAUCCUCCUCAAUGUUAGCACGAGCACCUGAAUCCAGUUGCUGAGCAUUGGUGAAAUGAAAUUUGAAGACACCCUCUUUGGAGUUUGAGAAGUUUGGAACAAGAGAAUUUGACAUCACUCUUCUGAUGGAUGGGCAAUCCAAUGCCACGAGUUGUUUUAGAAAUGGUGGAAUCUGUGGGAUGGAUUCAAGUUUUUUGCAGUCGCUUAAAUCGAGCGAGUUCAAGCUUGAAAGAUGAGCAAUGCUCUCAGGAAGGUUCACGAUUCCGCUAUCACGCAGUGACAGUUCCAUUAAUGACGUCAAGCGACCGAUGUGGCUUGGGAUUUCUGUUAAUUUGGCACACCCCGAACAAUCAAGUUUAGAGAGAAGCUUCAGAUUAACAAUGGAGUUUGGAAGUGACUCGAGAUGAAUGCACUCUUGGAGUUCCAGGGAUCGAAGAUUAACGAAAUUGCCAAAUGAGGAAGGCAGUUCUUUAACAGCCGUAGAUGUUAAGUUAAUGUGAGCAAAAGUAUGAGCCGGCUCCGCGAUCUCUGGGAAGGUCCUCAGCCUUGAGCAACCACGCAAAUCAAGGUUCCUCAACUUCAAAUUGAAAAUGGUGCUUGGAAAAGUUUGAAGUGAAUUACAGUGGGUAAGGUCUAACUUGCAUAGUCUGGUGAGGGUUCCAAUGGAAGAUGGAAUAAUCUCAAGAUUCAAGCAACUGCGCAAACUCAGUCCUUGAAGCCCUACCAAACGGCACAAGGAUGAAGGUAGUGCCUGUAUGGCUGUGCCGUCUAAGAUGAGCACCACUAGAUCUUCCAACGUGUCCUGAAUCUCGGGUAAAUUUUCCAAUUUUGAGCAACCACUGAGAGAAAGUUUCUUUAUGAAUUUCAUAUCAGAAAGGUGAAAUGGAAAGAUUGUAAGGGAAGAACAGUGAGAGAGAUCUAAGUAACAGAGCUUCUUGCGAUUAAAGUUGAAGUGACAGAGCUUCAUGAGUUUUGUGAACACUUUAAAACAUAUAGUAUCAUUAGCCACUUCUUCUUCCUUAUAUCUGUCAAAAGUAAUUGAGAAAAUUUCACUGGAAGUUGGGAAAAAAGGACCACGGUGUCGACGUUUACCACGCCGUCCUGAGAAAUUCGUCAUAUCCGGUUCCUGACGAGGGAAUAUUGAGAAAGUUUGAAGUUGACGCUCCAGUAUCACAUGAGGGAAUCUGGGUUUACUGAUCGAAAACAUAUUAAGCUUCGGACAACGGGAAAGAGUAAUCCAUCCUGGUGAUGUGGAUAAAAUGUUGCUGGGAAUAUUUACACUAUUCAGAUCAUUACAAUCAUCUAAACAUAAACAACUGAGCUUGUUGAGGAAUAUCCAAGAGUGAACUUCAAUCAACUUUUCACAACUUUUCAGAAUUAUUUCUUCAAUAUUUGGUGACAUAGAAAGGUCUGGUAUUCUAGUAAGUUUCCGAGAAUAACUCAGGUCGAGCCUUUUCAAGUUGGGUAAAUUCUGCCACAAAUAGGAAAUGAAUGAGGUAACAAAUAAAAACUACUUUAUCUAUUUUUCUUCGGUAAAAUAUUAGCUACAUCAUCUAAUCUAUUCACUUUAUAUUUUACAUUACUUCAAAACCACUGUUAAAAAAAAUCACACUGUCAACUAACAAAACUGUGGCUAUAAAUUUAAUAGUUAUUAUAAAAAACCACAAAAUUUAACGUGUUUUUGUUCCCUACCUCAAAUUACAUCCUAAUAAUUUGAACCUAAACUUAUUAUGUAUUUAAAAACUGAUGAUAGUAAUUUAUAAUCGAUGACAGUGUGGAAAUACUUUAUAUCAUGCAUGUAUCAACUGACAAAAUAAAAUGGUGUUGUCUGAUGAUAGUAAUUUAUAAUCGAUGACCAUCUUUCCAUAAUUUAUUUUAUUAAAUACAUAAUUUGUUGUAUAUUAUAUUGAAGUUUAUGUUAUAAUAAUAAAAAAAUACUUAAUUAGGUUUUGAGUAUCCAGUAAGACAUUUUUAAUUAAUUUUUUUAUUAAAUUUUUUAAUUAUUUAAGUACUCAAAUUUUUUAUAUUUCCAAUAGAAUAUAUGUCAUUUUUAAUUUUUGAGUUAAUUGGGUGAUACAGAAAUUAUCUUGUCACAUGAUCUUACUUACUUGUCUUUAUGUAUUAAGGAAUAUGAAGUUUUAUGAUUGGCCAUUAGACUAUAUACCUAAAAAGAGGAUGCAAACUCUUCUACAUGCUACUAAAUUUAUAACUAUCUUUAAUUAGAAACAUGCUGAGUAUGAUUCUUAUGAUAUAUGUAUAACUGUGUGGUUCAAAUAAAAGAAAUUUCAAAUCGAAUAAUGUGGAGAAGCACAAAGGAAUUGCAAAUGAAAACCAGUAGAUGUAUAAUACAGAAAACAUGCUUGUAUAACUUAUUUUUGUCUUUGAAAGUUUAGAACACAAAGAAACAUAGAUAGCUUGAAAAACCUGAUCUCCUUCCCAGAGUUGUUCAAGAUGGCAGUAUGGCAUUUCGAGGGUCACUAGAUUUUGCGGGCAAAAGUUUGGAGGCAAAGAUCUUUGAGGGAAAUGUUUCCAAUAAAGAAUCUUUAGAGUGUCUGGCAGACCUACAAUAGAUGAUUCAAGAGACACAUUUGACGUGUAUUUUGGCGUGUUGAGCAUAAGCAUCCUAAGAUUGUCCAUCUUUUCGAAACUUUGUGCAUGUACUACAACUUCAUUUACUUUGCUCGUAUCUAGUGAUAUACACUGUAUUGCAUCUAACCCCUGAAAGUAAAUCAAUGUAAUUAGAAAAAAAAAGCAUGAAAUGUUGCUGUAUGGUUAUGGGCAGAUUGAUGAGAUAUGGUAACCUUCGGAUACUGAUCAUGAAGUGACAUAAAGGAGAAGGAAGCGUUACUGAAGGAGAGUAAUGGAAAUUUAUGAGAAAUUAAGCCGUUGGUUACAGAGACUAGGUAGGGACCGAGUCAUCUAUACCAGGGACCGAGUCAUCUAUAAGAGGAGGCAGAGACGAAGAGUAGGGGUAGGAAAAAAAGAUAUGGUUUUUAUAUUAUCUUUGAUGCUCUAGCUAAGGAUCAUCUGUCCUAAAACAGUUGCAUUUCUGGAUGUUUAAUGACAGCUCAAUAGUUUGCAGUUUUUUCACAAAGUAACAACAGAAUAUACCUUGUUUUUUCUUAAAACAUCACAAAUUUCCUCAGCAUUAAACAGUCGGCUGCGUUUUCCAGGAUGCCGACGACACUCUUUACGAACAAUUUCUUGACCCAUUUCUUGUAUUAGAUCGUGCAUCAUAAUAAUACCAUUAAAGACAGAUAUUAGGCACCUAUCUUUGAGAACAUCCAUUACAAUCUUAGUAGAGAAACCAUUGCAGUCAUCAAGUAUUUCUGCCAGCACAAUCUCCUGGUAUCCUCUAUAAAAGCAAGCAAUGUCAAGAAAUAUAUUCUUCUCCACCUCCUCGAGCCCAUCAUAACUUAAUUUUAAUACAUUGAAAAUACCAUGAUGUUGGCCCUUUUUCAACUUUUGCAACUGACUUUCCCAUGCUUCUUUUGUUCUGUCACAAAGCAAUGAGCCCAAAAUCUGGAGAGCUAACGGAAUCCCUUUUGCAUAACUCAACACCUUUCCUGACAGUUCCUUGUAAGCAAUUUCUUCUGAAGAUUUUUGUUUAAAAGCAUGUAAACUAAAAAGUCUUAGAGAAUCAUCAGAAUUCAACUCCUUAACUUCGUAGAUAUCAUCAGCUCUAGCAUUCUUAAGCACUUGUCUGUCUCUACUGGUCAUAAUGAUUCUACUGCCCUGCCUAAAACUAUCACUCCAUCCUAUUAAUUUUUGAAGUUGAGCUGAAUCGGUAACAUCAUCAAGAAUGAGGAGAGCCUUUGUCCGUUUGAGCCUUUCUUUGUAAUAUGGUAAAGAAGAAGAUUUCUCUUCCUUUAGAAGCUCAGACAGAUAUUUUGUUCUGAUACUAUCUAUUCCAUCUCUUUGUAUUUUUUCUUGAACGUCUAAAACAAGGCUGCUGGAAUCAAACUGCAAUGCCAAUUUCUGAUAUAUUUGAUCACAAAUUGUACUUUUUCCUAUUCCUCCCAUGCCCCAAAUUCCUAUGAUCCGAACAUCCGGUGACUCAGGAUGCAACAAGGACUGAAUUCCUUCAAUAUGUUUUUGAAUGCCGAUGAUUCCUUGAUCAUAACUGGUGGAAUAAAGAUUCAAUUUUCCCAAAAUAUCUUCCACAAUUUUUUCAACAAGUUUGUGGUCAUUCCUGGCAGAUGAUUUAGAAAAUAAAGUAUAAGAAUUCAAGCACAAAAGCUAAACUAAACUAAAGAAAAAUUCAGAGUCAAGAGGAGUGAACAUCAUUGAAUAGAUUCACAUAUCGAUUCUAGUUUCGAGUUCUGGAUAAAAUAAAUAAAUUAAAAAGUUGAAGGUAAGUUUAGGACGUUAUCUUCCUAUAUUAGUUUGGUUGGUUUAGUAAUUGCAAAUCAAGAUCGCAGAAAUUCUACAGUAACCGUAUGUGACUUCUGAUAAUAGGGAGCAGAUUUGUAGGUACAAAGUUAAGCUAUAACAUGUGAUAUGGUUCAGAUCCAUGACCGACUAAGAGAAAUGAAAAAAGAAACACUUGAUUUAUGGUGAGAUGAACACAAUUUUAGUAAAUGAAAAGAGAUCCUGAUUAUCUAAUAAAUAUAAUGACCUGGUGACUUUUGAAUCCCAGCCUGCAAGUUCAGCAGCUUCGGUUAGAGCAUCCUUCCAUCCUUGCACUCUGUCCAUGUCGUGCUUAAGCCGCUGUUCAUGCUCAUCAAAUGCUUCUUUGAAUCUUUGUUCCUGCUUCCUAAUAGUUGAUGGAUCCACCUUGUAGAAAACAGGUAUCACAUCCCUUCCAUAUCUCUUCUUGCAUUCAAGUAUCUUAGUGAGUUCAUUCAAGCACCAAGUGGAAGAUGCAUAGUUUUGGGAGAAAACGAUGACAUAAAUCUUUGAUUCUUCUAUUGCAGAGAGUAGUGCAGGUGAAAUUUCUUCGCCCCGGGGUAGUCUCUCGUCAAUAUAUGCUUGAAUGUUCUUCCUUUGCAGUGCUGCAUGAAGGUGACGAAUGAAGUUGUCACGUGUGUCUUCCCCUCUGAAGCUGAGAAACACAUCAUGCUUUGUUAGAGAAGCAGACACGGGGAAUGAUGAAGGACUUCCUGACAUUGGAAUCAAUUUUCUCUCUUUUCUCUUGCAACUCUCAGUGCCUUUGUUUGUACACAAAUCAACUCUUGGAAAAGUCUUUGAAUUUUCUCAAAAGUAUCUUUCACAGAUCACGCACGCGUGGAAACAUAGCUGUGUUAAAAUCCUUAUUUAAGUUUUAAUUGGGCCUUGUAGUGGGCUUUGUAAUGUGCUUUUCUUUUCUCCUACAUUGCUUUAUAUAUACACCUCAGCGUUUGCUUUCUACAUUUCAUUUUACAAAAUACAUUCUCUCAUUUUCUACCUUUUAUAUUGUCUGAUUCCGUUCUCUCUUUAUUUUUUUUCAAAUCUCUUUUGCUUACAAUUUUUUUUUCUUUUUUAAGAAAUGUACUUUUUCAAGUUUAAUUUAAUUUUAUAAAACAGUCAUCUUUCUACAGUAUUAUCAUCUCUUACGUGAGAUUAUUAUAUAUUAUUUGGUGAUCUAAGUAAACUUUUAAUCCAAUAAACUUUAAAAAUAAUUCUAAUACUAUAUUAAAAAAUGAAAUUUAAAUCUAAUUCUAUUUUAUAAAAUAUAUUUAUUCAAUGCUAAAAUAUCUCUAAUUGAGUAGGGAUGUUCAAAAUACUUAUUGGUUCUUGAUUUUCACUUUCACUUUUAAGGUUUUUCUUCGCAGACACGUAGUAAACAGAAAUACAAAAAUAUGAGUCAAUGGAAGAGUCUAACGAUUCGCAGAAUAUUAUGGUGUCUAGCUUUAUACCGCAUUAAUGCGAGGAGUUUCUUUAAUAUUUUUACUCAAUUUAUUUAUUUUUAAUUCUUUUUUUUUUCACACCUUUUACAAAUAAAGAAUCGUAUUUCUUUAAUAUAUUUUAGAAAAUAACCACUAAACCUUAUUAUAAAAUAUAUUUAUGAAAUGCACGUGUAAGAAUAACAGGAAAAAUAUUACUACGAAAAACAAUAUAUUAAUAUUAAUAUGUUUCUUAAUAAAUUUCAUACCCACUGUCUAUUUAUAAAUUAAUAUAAUAUAAAUAUCUUUAAUGAUGUUUUUGUGGGUAGCUUAUUUCUCUAACGCAGAAUAUUAUGGUGUCUACUUUUAUAAAACAUUACAUUUUGAUUUUAAUAUUUAUUAAAUAUUUUUUAUUUGGGAUGAAGUAACGAUGAUGAAUCGAAUGUGUUUUGAAGUCUGACAUAACUUUUAGAGAUGUUAUGAGAACGGUUAAUGACGGAAAUUAUCAAAAACCUUUUGGGGGAAGGUUGUGGUUUUGGGAGGUGAUUUCAGGUAAAUAUUGUUAGUGGUAAAAAAAGGAUUAAGAUAUGAUGUUGUGAAGUCAACAAUCAACUUUUCUCAUUUGUGGUUAAAUUGUCGAGUCUUAAAACUUUCUCAAGGAAAUCCAACACGAUCUAUUGAUUGAGCCCACAAAAACACCUUUGUUAUCAUUGGUGAAUUUUGUUUAUCCUAAUUUAUUGACUGAUAUGUUAUGUCCUGAGUACUUUGAGUAUGGAGCAAUACUUUGUCCGACAACUGAAUCAGUAGAGCAAGUGAAUGAUUUUAUUUUAUCUCUGUUAAGUGGUAAAUAAAUAAAUUAUCUUAGUUCGGAUACACCUUGCCAAUUAGAUUAAGAUCAAGAAUUUAAAGUGAAUGGUUCACUUCUGAGUUCUUAAAUGAGAUAAAAUGUUCAGAGAUACUAAAUCAUCGCCUUCAUUUGAAAAUUGGCGUGCCUAUUAUGCUUUUGAGAAAUAUUGAUCAAACCAACGGUCUUUGUAAUGGAACAAGGUUGCAAGUUAUUGAUUUGAAGAAAAUGUUAUUUGUGCAAUAGUUCUAACAGGAACAAAUAUUGGUGAUAAAAUCUUUAUUUCAAUAAUGAAUUUGAUCCCUUUAGAUGUAGGUAUGCCAUUCAAAUUCUAGAGAAGACAAUUUCCAAUAACUUUAUGUUUUGCAAUGACAAUUAAGAAAAGUCAAAGUCAAUUAUUGACCAAAGUUGGUUUAUAUUUUUCACGUCCAAUUUUCACACAUUGAUAGUUGGAUGUAGCUAUUUAUAGAGUUAGAAAGAAAAAAAUUUAAAAAUUCUAACUCUUGAUGAAGAUGGGAAUGCAACAAACAAGAAAAAGAAAAUGUUUACACUGAAACUUUUGACAAUAUUUAAAAACAAUAGAAUUAUAUGAUAAACUUGGAAUAAUGGCUAAUUCUCCCUGCACCCAAUAUUUUUGAACAUGCAACUUUUAAAUUUGCUCCCUUGUAAUUAUAUUUUCUUAUGUGUGAUGUAGUAACAGUUGCCUUAUUUAAAAUGUUACUAAAUAACAUAUCAUUUAUAUCUGUUAUUUUUAUUCUGUUCUGAUUUUAUAUAUAUGUUAACGAAGUUGAGAAUUUUCUGAUUUUACAGGUCCAUGCACAAACCUAAUAUAAUGAUAUGAUAUUCAAUAUCAAGAGGUACUUGUCGUAAAACGGGGAAUAUGAGAGACUCCAUAGAAUGAAGAAAAAGUAUAAAGAGGAUUUACAAAUUACCCUUUCAAAUGCAGCUCCUCAGAAUUUCUUAAUGCCUUCACUGCAAAUGCAACCCAAAUAAGCUAAAGAAGUUAAUCAAACUAUACAUUAAGAGUUUCAAGAAAAUGAAACUCUGGAACAACAGAGCAACCCAUCUCAUGCUCAAUAGAAACAUCAAACUAUAUCUAACAAUAACUUAGAAAUCUUUGUCAACAAUUGAACGAACCCACUCCUAAAAUGCCAUUGAAAAUGUAAAUAAAUAAAUAAAAAUUAAAAAUGAGAAUUCAUAAUAAAAUUUCAUCGUGUUGAAACUUGUAAUUUAGAAGUAUUACGAUAAGCCAGUUUUGAUCCUCGCGAAUGAAAGACUAAUUAGCAGAAAGACUGUGCAAAAUUCCUUCCACUGGAUUCUUCGAUGUCAACUGAUUUGGUAUAAAGAGGACAUAUGCCGCAUUCUUUUAUUGUGAUAACUGAUUUCAACUCUCUCACAAGUAAUUUGCGAUUUGACCGAUUUGGCCGCAGAAAGGGAUCAUCAUAAUCAUGCGAACUGAUCUCAAAAGUGAAGCUGCGAGCAUCACACAGCCUAAGGCUCAUGCCGCUUGCCCUUAGGGACUCCAAGUUAAAUUUCCACACCAAUGUGUGAUCUUUAUCAACACCUCUCUCUUCAUCAUCCCAUCUGAAAUAGUUGUUUAACACAUCAUUAUUUGGAAUUAUCCGUGUGCCAUGAUCAUCAGAUUCAAAUUUUAGGCUGUAACCAAAGGAACCAUAUCUACCUUUAACAACUUUCGUAUCUAACACUUCAAAAACCACACACAAAGCGAAACCACUGAGCCUAUCAUCGCUUAAAAAACUUAAAUCUUCAUUUAUAGUCACUGAAUGUCCCUUCCCACGAAAAUGGAACCAACCAGGAACUGCACUCCCUGGAAAACAGAAGAACACACACCUAUAUCUAUCGUCGGUCAUCCUAAGCCUUGCAUCCUCCUCAAUGUUAGCACGACCACCUGAAUCCAGUUGUUGAGCAUUGGUCAAAAGAAAUUUGAAGAAACCCUCUUUGGAAUUUGACAAGUUUGGAACAAGAGAAUUGGACAUCACUCUUCUAAUGGAUGGGCAAUCCAAUGCCACUAGUUUUUUUAGAAAUGGUGGAAUCUCUGGGAUGCAUUCAAGCUUUUUGCAGUCGCUUAAAUCAAGCGAUUUCAAGCUUGAAAGAUGAGCAACGCUCUCAGGAAGGUUCACAAUUCCGCUAUCACACAGUGACAGUUCCAUUAAUGACGUCAAGCGACCGAUAUCUCUAGGGAUUUCUGUUAAUCUGGCACACCCCGAACAAUCAAGUUUAGAGAGAAGCUUGAGAUUAACAAUGGAGUUUGGAAGUGACUCCAGAUCAGUGCAUUUGCGGAGCUCCAGGGAUCGAAGAUUAACCAAAUUGGCAAAUGAGGAAGGCAGUUCUUUAACAGCCGUACAUAUCAAGUUAAUGUGAUCAAAAGUAGGAGCCGGCUCUGUGAUCUCUGGGAAGGUCCUCAGACUUGAGCAACCACACAAAUCAAGGUUCCUCAACUUCAAAUUGAAAAUGGUGCUUGGAAAAGUUUGUAGUGAACUACAGUGGGUAAGGUCUAACUUGCAUAGUCUGGUGAGGCUUCCAAUGGAAGAUGGAAUAAUCUCAAGAUUGAAGCAACUGCACAAACUCAGUUGUUGAAGCCCUACCAAACGGCACAAGGAUGAAGGUAGUGCCUGUAUGGCUGUGUCGUCUAAGAUGAGCACCACUAGAUCUUCCAACGUGUCCUGAAUCUGGGGUAAAUUUUCCAAUUUUGAGCAACCACGGAGUGAAAGUUGCUUUAGGAACUUCAUAUCAGAAAGGUCAAAUGGAAAGAUUGUAAGGGAAGAACAGUGAGAGAGAUCUAAGUGACAGAGCCUCUUGAGAUUUUGAAAGUUUGAGGGUACACCUUCGAGUAUUGUCGACACUUCACAUUGUGAGUAUAUAGUAUUAUUACCCACUUCUUCUUCGUUAUAUCUGUCAAAACUAAUUGAGGAAAUUUCACUGGAAGUUGGGAAAAUACCUUUAGCAUUAUGGAAUUUAACAGUCCCUCCCAAAAGUAAACUUGAGAAAGUUGGACGUUGACCCUCCAGUUUCACAUGAAGGUAUCUGGGUUGACUGGUUGAAAACAUUUCAAGCUCCUCACAGUGAGAAAGAAUGAUCAAUCCUGGAGAUGUGGAUAAAAUCUUGUUGGGAAUAUUUACACUUUUGAGAUGAUAACAAUGAUCUAAACAUAAACAACUGAGCUUGCUGAGGAAUAUCGAAGAGUGAACUUUAAUCAACUUUUGACAAUAACUCAGAAUUAGUUCUUCAAUAUUCGGUGACAGAGAAAGGUCUGGUAUUCUAGUAAGUUUCAGAGAAUGACUCAGGUUGAGCCUUUUCAAGUUGGGUAAAUUCUGCCACAAAAAGUAAAUGAAUCAGGUAACAAUGAAAAACUAAAAUAAAGUUUUAUGCAAUUUUAUCUAUUUUUCUUCGGUAAACUAUGAGCUACAUCAUCUAUCGAGUUUAUAUUUUACAUAAAACCACUGUUAAAAAAAUCACACUGUUAACUAACAAAAUUAUGGUCACUAUAAAUUUUAUAGUUAUUAUAAAAAUUCACAAAAUUUAACGUGUUUUUGUUCUCUACCUAAAAUUACAUCCUAAUAAUUUGAACCUAAGCUUAUUAUGUAUUGAAAAACUUACUAUAGUAAUUUAUAAUCCAUGACAAUGUCGAAAUACUUUAUACUAUGCAUGUUAAAAUUUGAUAAAAUGUCGAAAUACUGACAAAAUAAAAAUGGUGUUUUCCGAGAGUUAAAAUUAAACUUUAGUUAAAAUAAGUCCAUCUUUACAUAUUUUAUAAUUUGUUGUAUAUUAUAUUGAAGUUGAUGUUAUAAUAAAAAAAUGACUUAAUUAAUCGAAAAAUGUGGAGAAAACACAAAGAAAUUGCAAAUGCUUGUAUAAUUUAUUUUUAUCUUUGAAAGUUUAAAAGACAAAGGAACAUAGAUAACUUGAAAAACCUGAUCUCCUUCCCAGAGUUGUUCAAGACGGCAGCCUGGCAUUUCGAGGAUCACUAGAUUUUGUGGGCAAAAGUUUGGAGGCCAAAAUCUUUGCGGGAAAUCUCUCCAAUAAAGAAACUUUAGAGUGUCUGGCAGACCUACGAGAGAUGAUUCAAGAGACACAUUUGAUAUGUAUUCAGUUGAGUAGAGUAAAAACGUCCAAAGAUCAUCCAACUCUUUACGAGACACAUCUGAUAUGUAUUUAGUUUUAUUUUGCUCGUAUCUAGUAAUAUACACUGUAUUGCAUCUGACCCCUGAAAGUAAAUCAAUGUAAUUAGAAGAAAAAAACAUGAAAUGUUGCAUUGCAGGAUGUUUGAUGACAGCUCAGUGGUUUGCAAUUUUUCACAAAGUAAAUUAAUGACAGGUCAGUAGUUAUAUACCUUAUUCUUUCUUAAAACCUCACAAAUUUCCUCAGCAUUAAACAAUCGGCUGCGUUUUCCAGGAUGCUGAGGACACUCUUUACGAACAAUUUCUUUACCCAUUUCUUCUAUUAGAUCGUGCAUCACAAUUCUACCAUCAAUGACAGAUAUUAGGCCCCUAUCUUUCAGAAUAUCCAUUCCAAUCUUAGAAGAGAAACCAAAGUCAUCAAGUCUUUCUGCUACCUCAAUCUCCUCGUGACCUCUAUAAAAGCAAGCUAUGUCAAGAAAUAUAUUCUUCUCCUCCUCCUCCAGCCCAUCAUAACUUAAUUUUAAUACAUUGAAAAUACCAAGAUGUUGGCCCUUUUUCAACUUUUGCAACUCACUCUCCCAUGCUUCUCUUGUUCUGCCAUAAAGCAAUGACCCCAAAAUCUGGAGAGCUAACGGAAUCCCUUUUGCAUAUCUCAACACCUUUUCUGACAGGUCCAUGUAAGAUUUUUCUGCUGAAGAUUUUUGUUUAAAAGCAUGUAAACUAAAAAGUUUAUGAGAAUCAUCAAAAUUCAACUCCUUAACCUCGUAGAUAUCAUCAGCUCCAGCAUUUCUAAGCACUUGUCUGUCUCUACUGGUCAUAAUGAUUCUACUGCCCUGCCCAAAACUACCACUCCCUCCUAUUAAUUUUUUAAGUAUAGCUGAAUCGGUAACAUCAUCAAGAAUGAGGAUAGCCUUUGUCCGUUUGAGCCUUUCAUUGUAAUAUGAUAAAUCAGGGGAUUUCUUUAUCUCUUCCUUUAGAAGCACAGACAGAUAUUUUCUUCUGAUACUGUCUAUUCCAUCUCUUUGUAUUUUUUCUUGAACGUCUAAAACAAGGCUGCUGGAAUCAAACUGCACUGCCAAUUUCUGAUAUAUUUGAUUACAAAUUGUAGUUUUUCCUAUUCCUCCCAUGCCACAAAUUCCUAUGAUCCGAACAUCCGUUGACUCAAGAUGCAACAAGGACUGAAUUCCUUCAAUAUUUUUUUCAAUGCCGAUGAUUCCUUGAUCAUAACUGGUGGAAUAACGAUUCAAUUUUCUCAAAAUAUCUUCCACAAUUUCUUCAACAAGUGCGUGUUCUGGCCUGGCAGAUGAUUUAGAAAAUAAAGUAUAAGUAUUCAAGCACAAAAGCUAAAGUAAACUAAAGAAAAAUUUUACAGUAACCGUUUGUGACUUCUGAUACUAGGGAGCAGACUUGUAGGUACAAAGUUAAACUAUAAGAUCAGAUAUGGUUCAGAUCCAUGACCGACUAAGAGAAAUGAAAAAAGAAACACUUGAUUUAUGGUGAGAUGAACACAAUUUUAGUAAAUGAAAAGAGAUCCUGAUUAUCUAACAAAUAUAAUGACCUGGUGACUUUUGAAUCCCAGCCUGCAAGUUUAGCAGCUUCAGUUAGAGCAUCCUUCCAUCCUUGCACUUUAUCGUGCUUAAGGUGCUGCUCAUGCUUUUCGAAUGCUUCAUUGUAUCUUUGUUCCUGCUUCCUAAUAGUUGAUGGAUCCACCUUGUAGAAAACAGGUAUGACAUCCCUUCCAAAUCUCUUCUUGCAUUCAAGUAUCUUAGUGAGUUCAUUCAAGCACCAAGUGGAAGAUGCAUAGUCUUGGGAGAAAACGAUGACAUAAAUCUUUGAUUCUUCUAUUGCAGAGAGGAGAGCAGGUGAAAUUUCUUCGCCCCUGUUUAAUCUGUAAUCAAUAUACGCUUCAAUGUUCUUCCUCUGCAGCGCUGCAUAAAGGUGACUAAUGAAGUUGUCACGUGUGUCUUCCCCUCUGAAGCUGAGAAACACAUCAUGCUUUGUUAGAGAAGUAGACACGGGGAAUGAUGAAGAACUUCCUGACAUUGGAAUCAAUUUUCUCUCCUUUCUCUGCAAAUCUCAGAUUCCUUUGUUUGUACCAUUUCUACCUGAAGAAGUGUUUAAAUUUUCUCAAAAUACCUUGCACAGCGUGUUCUGGUCAGACAUAAAGAAAAAGACAAAUAUUAAGUUAAUAGAAUAGUCAACAAUUUAAAAAAUAAGUAUGAAAUAUAGAUAUAUAUCAUUAUCACGUGUGGAAGCUACGUCGUCUUGUAUUGGAUUUUCUAAUCUGCCUUUUAUCUUGUCUCAUUCUUCUUUAUCUUUUUUCUCUCAUCUCUCUUGCUUACGAUUUCUUUGCCUUUAUUCAGAAAUUUUAUUUAUAAUAAACCUUCAAUAAUAUUUGUACUUUCUAGCAUAUAGAAUACUUAAUGGAUCCUUUUCUGAUUUUUCUUUUCUAAAGUGCAAUUGAUAUUUUAAAUGUUUUUCUAUUUAAUUUUCCUUUCUUAAUGACACAUAAAAUGGUUCAGUGCACAAUUAAUUACUCUCACCUUAGAUUUCAUUCAUCUCAUUCCAUUUCCACACUCAAAUCAUUCUCACAUUUGUUUCUACCUGUUUCACAAAGUUUUAGUUAAAAUAUGGAAAUUAAUGUUCAAGAACCCUACUUAAUAUUAAUAUUCAACAAUUUAAAAUAUUAAAAUGCAAAUUAAUCUUUCUUAAUAAUGUCAUUUUUAUGUAAAAAAUAAAAUGUAGUUUAGUCAUUUAUACUUAGAUGGAUAAAGAUGGUUUUAGAAAAAAAAAUGCAUUUUAUUUCAAAGGUUAUCUAAGCUCUGAACUCAUUUAUGAAUUAAUAAUAAUAAAUAAUAUGUAAUUGUAUUCCAAUACCAUAUAAUUUUUUUUAUUGGGUGCGUUUCUGAUGAAUUAAUUAAUGCACUCUAGGGACAAUGAUCGCUCUAGUAUUUGAUUUUUUUAUUUAUUUUAAUGUUGAAAUUAUAGCUAUUUAGUACAGAUACUAUUGACACCGACACAGAUACGACACAGACACAGAGAUACUUAAAAUCUCUAAAAUGUAAGAUACAGAGACAUUAAUCUAUAUAUUAUAUAAUUAUGAAUUAUAUAAAUUAACAAUAAAGACUUAUGUGCACAAGUAUUUUGGAGAUUAUUUUUUAAGCAGAAAUAUGUUUUUCAUGACUGUUUCACAAAGAUUUGUUUCUUAUUUUUAUAAUCAUAAUAACAAUUUAUACCAUAAAGUUUGAAUUUUAGAAAAUUAAUGUAUUUUUUCUUUUUAAAAUUCCGUUAGAAUCGUACUAAAAUUGUAAAAAAUCUAACAAAUACAUUUUGAAUUGGACAUUUCACAAAUACAUGUCCUACCAGUAUCAUACGAAUGUAAACAAAAUUCUUUCUUCAUAUGCCGCAUUCUUUUACUGUGAUAACUCAUUUCAACUCUCUCACAACUGAUUCGUAAUCUGUGGGAUGCAUUAAAGCCUUUUGCAGUUAAAUCAAUAGUAUAUGAUGAUGUGAAUGUUAUUUAUAUACUAAAUAUAAUCACAUAGUAACUUCAAAUUUGAUAAGGUACAACAUGUUACCAUAUCUCUUUUAAUUUCUUUUAUUUCAUUAUAUAUUUAGGUGUAUUUAAUUUCUUUUUAUUUCAUUGUGUAUUUAGGUGUAUUACGUAAAAUAUAUAAUUAAAAAGAAAGAAGAAUAAUGUUAUUUUUAAAUUUAAAGAAUGACAUAUAGAAAUAAACAAGCUAUUUUGAAAUUUUUAGAUUUUACAAAACAUUACAUUUUGAUUUUAAUAUUUAUAAAAUAUUUUUUAAUUUCAUAUUUAAAACACAACACUUAGUUGAGUGUGUUCCUUAGUUACUUACCAAAUAACAACAUACAUCUUAUCGGGUCUUUUUGCGACCCGACCCAAACUCAUCUCGAUCCUAGUAGGGUUCGCAUCAUCUUCAAUUGAGGAGUAGAUUUGUCAGGAGGAAAAUAAAUUGAUUUAUAAGAACAUGUGAAGUUGUUUAGAUUGAGGAAUAAUAGAUGGAUUUUGAUUAUGAUUUAUGGUAAGUUUAAAAAAAAUAGAUUUGUUUCUUUUAACAUUUUUUGUAUUAUAAUUAUUUGCUGGCUGAAUUGUUUUGAGUUAACAUGUUUUCUUGGGGUAUGAUAUUGUGAGGUUUUAUUACAUGCAGGUACGUGAAUAUUUUUUUUAUUCUAGUUGUAUAAAUCAGGAAAAAAUGUUUUUCACAAUAUAAUUAUAAUAACCGUUUAACAACCUAAAUAAUAAUAAAAUAUUAACUCAUAUUAUUUAAUUAAAUUAUUAAAUAAAAAGUAGUAAAACUGAUUGUAGGAUGGGAAUAUGAUUAUUUUUAACUGCUAGCUCCUCAUUAUUCUUUUAUAAUAAAAAACACACUAGUAGGUGUUGAAAAUCGUAAUAUAACAAACAAGUUUUGACACACGUAGGUUUGGCAAUUGUUUUAAUAGCUGAAAAUAGUAAAACAAUUUUUAAUUACCACAAACUGCAUCUUAAAUCAUAAAAAAUAGCAUUUUUUAGUUCAUAUAUAAUAACAUUUCCAUAAAUAAAUCUCCCGCCGCCAUUGAUAUUAAUCAUUAAUAAUUUUAGAUAAUAUUUUUUACUAUAAAACAUUUAAUUGAGAUUGAAUUUUUAAUUCACACUUUUUGGUCAAAGAAUAAUAUAUUUCAUUUUUUUAUUUAUUAAAUAUUUUGUAUAAUGCUGAGAAAAAAAAAUCUCACACACACACACACAUAUAUAUAUAUAUGAUCCCUAUGUCCUACAAGUACAAUAUAACAUCGUUAGUAUAAUGAAUAAAAAUAAUGAGUAUUCAAAGUCGUGUAUUUACGUAAAAGAAUAACAUGAUUUUUAAAAGAACUCACAUUAUCAGUUUAAAUUUUGACGAUAAAAUACAUUAAUUAUAUAUAUUUAUUCAAAAUUUCAAUUAUAUUAUGCAUUAAUGGUUUUAUGCUUUUAGAGGAAUCAGAGAAACUUAGAAAAGCUUAAUGAAACCCUAUGAAUAAAGGAGAUGUAAAAGAAAGAGAAAAAGGAAGUGAGAAAAGAUGAUAAUUAAUAAACACCCACUCUUCAUAACAUAGAGUCUUUAAACCUAUAUUCCCUCAAACAGCAUUUAUAAGUUAUUAUCACCCACAUGGAAUAAGGUGCCUCAAUGUGAACAAACCAAGAUCAGUAAGAAAUAUGAGGUUCAAAUAACGAAGCUGAGAAUUUUCUGGUUUUACAGCUCCAUGCACAAACCUAAUACAAUGAUAUGAUAUUCCAUAGGAUGGAGAAAAGUAUGAUAUGAAGAGGAUUUACCAAUUACCCUUUCGAAUGCAGCUCCUCAGGAUUCCAUCAUGCCUUCACUGCACAUGCAACCCAAAUAUGCUAAAGAAGUUAAUCAAACCCAAAUAUAAAGAAUUUCUAGAGAAUGCAACUCUGGGACAACAGAGUACCCCAUCUCAAGCUGAACAGAAACAUUAAACUAUAUCUAACAAUAACUUAGAAAUCUUUGUCAACAAUGAACGAAUCCAACCGUAAAAUGCCAUUGAAAAUGUAAAUAAAACAAAAUAAAUUAGAUAUGAGAAAUUCAUGAUAAAAUUUCAACACUUGUAAUGUAGAAGCAUUACGAUAAGCCAGUUUUGAUCCUCACCAAUGAAAGUCUAAUUAGCAGAAGAGGAAGAGACUAGUUGACUGGGUAGCUUUCUGCAAUGCCUAUUUUAAGGUUACGCUUCCGGCAAAAAUAUAAUAGAAGACUGCUCUCAUGUCAAAGUUUCUCAUACAUAGAACAACCCGCAAAAGAGAUUAAACAUUCCAAAAGAUGUCUCAACAGAAAUGAAAUGAGAUCCUAACAACUUGUUGGGAAAGUACUAUUUUGCCUUCAAUUCCAUUACUUCCUUUUGCCUUUAAGAGUGCAGUCAUAAUCAUCAAAAUACUUAGACUUUGUGAUAUGUCUUUUGGGCUUGCUAUUCAUCUUUUGUUGCCUCCUCUUGAGCCAUAACACUUUUGGCCUUCCUCUUCCUAUAUUCCCUUGUGUCUCUUGAAGACUGUGCAACAUUACUUCGACUGGAUUAUUCAAUGUGAACAGCACCACCAUAUUCAUCAUCUUUCUUUUUGGAAUAAAGAGGGCAUAUGCCGCAUUCUUUUACUCUGAUAUCGGGCCACCAAUGGCUGAUCUCAAAAGUGAAGCUGCGAGCAUCACAGAGCCUAAGGCUCAUGCCGCUUGCCCUUAGGGACUCCAAGUUAAAUUUCCACACAAAUGUGUGAUCUUUAUCAAGAAAUCUGCCUGCAUCCGUCAAGUUUAACACAUCAUUAUUUGGAAUGAUCUGUGUGCCAUCAUCAUCAGAUUCAAAUUUUAGGCUGUAACCAAAAGAACUAUAUCUACCUUUAAUAUCAUUCGUAUCUAACACUUCAAAAACCACGCACAAAGAGAAACCAGUGAGCCUAUUAUCGCUGCAAAAACUUAAAUCUUCAUUUAUAGUCACUGAAUGUCCCUUCCCACGAAAAUGGAACCAACCAGGAACUGCACUCCCUGGAUAACAGAAGAACACAGACCUAUAUGCAUCGUCGGUCAUCCUAAGCCUUGCAUCCUUCUCAAUGUUAGCACGACCACCUGAAUCCAGUUGUUGAGCAUUGGUGAAAUGAAAUUUGAAUACACCCUCUUUGGAAUUUGAGAGGUUCCGAACAAGAGAAUUUGACAUCACUUUUCUAAUGGAUGGGCAAUCCAAUGCCACGAGUUGUUUUAGAAAUGGUGGAAUCGGUGGGAUGCAUUCAAGCUUUUUGCAGUCGCUUAAAUCAAGCGAUUUCAAGCUCGAAAGAUGAGCAAUGCUCUCAGGAAGGUUCACGAUUCCGCUAUCACGCAGUGACAGUUCCAUUAAUGACGUCAAACGACCAAUGUGCCUUGGGAUUUCUGUUAAUUUGGCACACCCCGAACAAUCAAGUUUAGAGAGAAGCUUCAGAUUAACAAUGCAGUUUGGAAGUGACUCGAGAUCAGUGCAUUUGCGGAGCUCCAGGGAACGAAGAUUAACGAAAUUGGCAAAUGAGGAAGGCAGUUCUUUAACAGUCGUAGAUGUUAAGUUAAUGUGAGCAAAAGUAUGAGCCGACUCCGUGAUCUCUGGGAAGGUCCUCAGCCUUGAGCAACCACGCAAAUCAAGGUUCCUCAACUUCAAAUUGAAAAUGGUGCUUGGAAAAGUUUGAAGUGAAUUACAGUGGGCAAGGUCUAACUUGCAUAGUCUGGUGAGGCUUCCAAUGGAAGAUGGAAUAAUCUCAAGAUUGAAGCAACUGUGCAAACUCAGUUGUUGAAGCCCUACCAAACGGCACAAGGAUGAAGGUAGUGCCUGUAUGGCUGUGUCGUCUAAGAUGAGCACCGCUAGAUCUUCCAACGUGUCCUGAAUCUCGGGUAAAUUUUCCAGUUUUGAGCAACCACUGAGACAAAGUUGCUUUAGGAAUUUCAUAUCAGAAAGGUCAAACGGAAAGAUUGUAAGGGAAGAACAGUCAGAGAGAUCUAAGUAACAGAGGUUCUUGAGACUUUGAAAGUUUAAGGGCACACCUUCCAAGAGACUGUUGAACACCUCUGAGUCUUCUGAGUCUGUAGCAUUAUUAGCCACUUCUAUAUUAUAUCUGUCAAAAGUAAUUGACAAAAUUUCACUGCUUGGGGAAAUUUCACUGGAAGUUGGGAAAUUUAUCUCUUUCGUCAUAUCCAGUUCCUGACGCUCCAGUAUGACAUGAGGGAGAAAUUUAUCUUCAUGUUUACUGAUUGAAAACAUAUUAAGCUUCCGACAAUGGGAAAGAGUAAUCCAUCCUGGUGAUGUGGAUAAAAUGUUGCUCGGAAUAUUUACACUAUUCAGAUCAUCACAAUGAUCUAAACAUAAACAACUGAGUUUGCUGAGGAAUAUCGAAGAGUGAAUUUCAAUCAACUUUUUACAAUAACUCAGAAUUAUUUUUUCAAUAUUUGGUGACAUAGAAAGGUCUGGUAUUCUAGCAAGUUUCCAAGAACGUGUCAGGUCGAGCCUUUUCAAGUUGGGUAAAUUCUGCCACAAAAAGUAAAUGAAUCAGGUAACAAAUAAUAACUACUUUAUCUAUUUUUCUUCCUAUUUAAACUAUUAGCUACUACUAUUGAGUUUAUAUUUUACAUUACUUAAAAACCACUGUUAAAAAAGCCACACUGUGGACUAACAAAAUUAUAUUUUAAAAUAUUAUUAAAGAUAAAAUAUGAAGAUAGGGUAAUUAAAUUAAAUAUAAUUUUUAUUUUUCAGAAAUGAUGAAAAUUAUAAUUAAAUUAACUAAAUUAUAUAAAAUUCCAUUUUAUUUACAUAACUCCUUUUCAUAUUAAAAAACUAUAUAAGAUCUUGAAACUAUAAUUAAUAUCUUAAAAAUUUAAAUAAUAAUAAUUAUUUCUACUCAUCCUUAAUUUUUGUUGGUGAAAUCUUGAUUUUUGGGAUAAUAUCACUUAAACUUAAGAAAUAUUUGACAUUAAUGAACUCUAAACAAAUUUAUAUAAGAAAUCAAGACAUCACUUUCAAUCCGAAAUCUUAAACUAAUAGGUUUAUGGAUUUUCUUUAUAUGUUGUUCAUCUUACCAAUUUGAACCCAAUGCGAGACUUUCAACUCUAAGAGAUGAAGUGGUGUACUUUAUGCUUCUAGGACUUGUUAGAUAUUGAAACAUGUACCAUUGCUAAAAUGUUUGAAUGAAGGAGAAGUCAAAGUCUCUCUCCUUUAGAGAUAUUCGCUCAAGUGGCAAGAGGUUGAUUAAGCAAGAGAGAGAUCGUAUUAAUUCUCUCUUCUAUGCAAUUGUUGUCGUUCAAACAAUGUGGAAUCAUUCAAGCAAAGAAAUCUUCUUUUGGGUUAGGAAACAAGGUUUUUCAAGCGAGAUAAACUCGUCUAAAGAAUUUAACUCUAGUAGUGAAAUGUUGUUGCCAUGAUUUAGCCAAGUGUUUGUAUCUAUGAGGCUAAUGAUGAUGAUGACGAUGAUAAGAUGCAUGAAUGUGUAUACACAAGUGUAUGAUAUACCUCAUGUUAUAUAUUGUAUGUGAUUCAAUUGAUGACCAUUUAUUUUUAGGCCAUUUAUAUGUAUAUUUUGGCCCUUUUAUGAGUAUGUGACGAGAUAUACCUAAGAUUGUAUUAUGAUCCUAAUGAGUCGAAGUAUCAAACACAAAACUCAUUAUGGAAAAAAAAAGAUAUUUUGUGCAUCAGUUAUGAUAUGAUCACAACAAUUAAAGCAUGUGUGAACGGUUAAUAUUGUUCUUAAUAAGAAAACAAAUAAUAUUGUAUGUGACAUUAGAGAUGUCAAAUAGGUUUAGAAAAUUAUUAAGUUUAAUUAUCUUUUUAGUCUUUAUAUUAAUGACCAAAAGUCAAUUCAGAUUUUUAGAAAGUUCAAUAUGAUUUAAUUUUUUAAAAAACAAUUCAAUGUGAUUCCUUCUAGUAUAUUUCCCUUAUUAAAAUAUUUUUAUCUUAAUGAUUCUGCCACUGUUAAGUUAUAUGUGUUGUUAUCACAUUGAAUUGUUUUAAAAAAAUUUGGAACCACCACAUUAAAUUGUUUUAAAAAGUUAGUACUAAAUUGAACUUUUGAAAAUUGGGAGAAUGAAAUUAAAUUUUGUCUAUUAAUACAGGGACAAAAAAUAAUUGAAUCAAAUAUUUUACUAUUUUUGUGAUGUAUAUUUAUAUAUAAAUAAUUUUGAGAAUUUAGAGUUACAAUGUGUUAUAUCAUAUAUAUAUAAUUCUUUUUGGUAAUGUAUCCUGUAGUUGUAAGCAAGUAUGAUUAUAUUAAGUGGGGCGUUUCAAAUAGUGGAGACUACGCAUAUACAAAUAUCUCUUAUAAAGUAAGAAAACAAAACAAUCGUUACUCAAGAAGAUCAUGCAAUGCAUCACAGACAACAUGGGAGAUAUAUAUCAACAAUAAUAUGAGUAAAUAAUACAUUCAUGGGCCAUUAGACGAUAUGCCUAAAAAAAAUAUGCAAACUAUUAAAUUUAUAAUUAUUUUUAAUUAGAAACAUGCUGAGUAUGACUCUUAUGAUAUAUGUAUAACUGUGUGCUUCAAAUAAAAGAAAUUUCAAAUCGAAUAAUGUGGAGAAGGCACAAAGGAAUUGCAAAUGAAAACCUGUAGAUGUAUAAUACACAAAACAUGCUUGUCUAAUUUAUUUUUAUCUUUGAAAGUUUAGAACACAAAGGAACAUAGAUAACUUGAAAAACCUGAUCUCCUUCCCAGAGUUGUUCAAGAUCGCAGUAUGGCAUUUCGAGGAUCACUAGAUUUUGUGGGCAAAAGUUUGGAGGCCAGAAUCUUUGAAGGAAACCGUUCCAAUAAAGAAACUUUAGAGUGUCCGGCAGACCUACAAGAGAUGAUUCAAGAGACACUUUUGAAUUCAAUCUAGGCAUGUAGACCAUAAGCAUCAUAAGAUUGUCCAUCUUUUCGAAACUUUGUGCAUGUACUACAGCAUCUUUUACUUUGUUCGUAUGAUAUUGAUAUACACUGUAUUGCAUCUGACCCCUGAAAGUAAAUCAAUGUAAUUAGAAAAAAAAACAUGAAAUGUUGCAUUUCAGGAUGCUUAAUGACAGCUCAGUAGUUUUCUAUUUUUCACAAAGUAACAACAGCAUAUACCUUGUUCUUUCUUAAAACCUCACAAAUUUCCUCAUCAUUAAACAAUCGGCUGCGUUUUCCAGGAUGCUGAGGACACUCUUUACGAACAAUUUCUUUACCCAUUUCUUGUAUUAGAUCGUGCAUCACAAUUCUACCAUCAAAGACAGAGAUUAGACCCCUAUCUUUGAGAAUAUCCAUUCCAAUCUUAGAAGAGAAACCACAGUCAUCAAGUGUUUCUGCUACCACAGUCUCCUCUUGCCCUCUAUAAAAGCAAGCUAUGUCAAGAAAUAUAUUCUUCUCCUCCUCCUUGAGCCCAUAAUAACUUAAUUUUAAUACGUCGAAAGUUCCAAGAUCUUGGCCGUUUUCCAACUUUUGCAACUGACUCUCCCAUGCUUCUCUUGUUCUGCCAUAAAGCAAUGACCCCAAAAUCUGGAGAGCUAACGGAAUUCCUUUUGCAUAUCUCAACACCUUUACUGACAGGUCCAUGUAAGCAAUUCCUUCUGAAGAUUUUUGUUUAAAAGCAUGUAAACUAAAAAGUUUCAGAGAAUCAUAAAAAUUCAACUCCUUAACUUCGUAGAUAUCAUCAGCUCCAGCAUUCUUAAGCACUUGUCUGUCUCUACUGGUCAUAAUGAUUCUACUGCCCUGCCCAAAACUAUCACUCCCACCUAUUAAUUUUUGAAGUUGAGUUGAAUCGGUAACAUCAUCAAGAAUGAGGAGAACCUUUGUCCGUUUGAGCCUUUCAUUGUAAUAUGGUAAAUAAGAGGAUUUCUCUUCCUUUAGAAGCUCAGACUGAUAUUUUGUUCUGAUACCGUCUAUUCCAUCUCUUUGUAUUUUUUCUUGAACGUCUAAAACAAGGCUGCUGGAAUCAAACUGCAAUGCCAAUUUCUGAUAUAUUUGAUCACAAAUUGUAGUUUUUCCUAUUCCUCCCAUGCCACAAAUUCCUAUGAUCCGAACAUCCGUUGACUCAAGAUGCAACAAGGACUGAAUUCCUUCAAUAUUUUUUUCAAUGCCGAUGAUUCCUUGAUCAUAACUGGCGGAAUAACGAUUCAAUUUUCUCAAAAUAUCUUCCACAAUUUCUUCAACAAGUGCGUGUUCUGGCCUGGCAGAUGAUUUAGAAAAUAAAGUAUAAGUAUUCAAGCACAAAAGCUAAAGUAAACUAAAGAAAAAUUUUACAGUAACCGUUUGUGACUUCUGAUACUAGGGAGCAUACUUGUAGGUACAAAGUUAAGCUAUUGUGUGAUAUGGUUCAGAUCUAUGACCGACUAAUAGAAAUGAAAAAAGAAGCACUUGAUUUAUGGUGAGAUGAACACAAUUUUAGUAAAUGAAAAGAGAUCCUGAUUAUCUAAUAAAUAUAAUGACCUGGUGACUUUUGAAUCCCAGCCUGCAAGUCCAGCAGCUUCGGUGAGAGCAUCCUUCCAUCCUUGCACUGUGUCGUGCUUAAAGUGCUGCUCAUGCUCAUUGAAUGCUUCUUUGUAUCUUUCUUCCUGCUUCCUAAUAGUUGAUGGAUCCACCUUGUAGAAAACAGGUAUCACAUCCCUUCCAUAUCUCUUCUUGCAAUCAAGUAUCUUAGUGAGUUCAUCCAAGCACCAUGUGGAAGAUGCAUAGUUUUUGGAGAAAACGAUGACAUAAAUCUUUGAUUCUUCUAUUGCAGAGAGGAGUACAGGUGAAAUUUCUUGGCCCCUGAGUAAUCUGUAAUCAAUAUAUGCUUGAAUGUUCUUCCUUUGCAGCGCUGCAUAAAGGUGACUAAUGAAGUUGUCACGUGUGUCUUCCCCUCUGAAGCUGAGAAACACAUCAUGCUUUGUUAAAGAAGCAGACAUGGCCAAUGAUGAAGGGUUUCAAUGUUCUCUGCAACUCUCAGAUCCCUUUGUUUGUAAGCAACUUCCAUAUAUUCUAUUAGGAAGGAAAAUAUAUAUUUCUACCAUUCCUACCACAAAUUGAAAAAGCCUUUCAAUUUUCUCAAAAUAUCUUUCACAGCUGUGUUCUGUCAGAUACGAAACAUUGAGUCAAUGGAAGAGUCAACAAUUGGCAGAAUAUUAUGGUGUGUAGCUUUAUACCAUUCUUACAAUAUUUGAUUGGUUGAAUAUAUACAAUAUGACUAAUGAACUUUUUUCUUUUCCGUAUUCCACGAUAAUUCCCUAGGCACCCUAUUAUACACUUUCUUAUCAACGGAAACCAUGUCUGUCCUUUUAUAGUUUUAAUCCUAUAAUAUCUUUCCAUUAAUCAUCAUUAUCACUCUUCAACCUUCAUAUCAAGUGUAUUGAUUUCAUACUUCAUCAGCUAGACAUAAUAAAAUCUCAAUAAUCUUUUAUACUGUCAACAUUUAUAAAAAAUAUUUCCUUCAAUAAUAUUUGUACUUUCUAGCAUAUAGAAUACUUAAUGGAUUCUUCUGUGAUUUUUCUUUCCUAAAGUACAAUUGAUAUUUUAACAGAUGCCGAAAGGUCUUGAAUAUGAGGCUGUUUCGAAAUGAAAAUUGGGGUAAAGCAUUUUCAAGUUAACAAGUUUUGUUGGGUGAGUGAGUGAUCAGUGCUAGCAUUUUCAAUCUCAGUUAUAGAAUGUAAAGAUUUACACAUUUAUUUGCUGAUUAAUAAUUUAUUUAUUGAAUUAAAUGUUUUAACAGUGAGUAUGGAUUCUUGAAUGAAUGUAAUCAUGGUGUAGAAUGUACAUAGUACAUAUAGUGAGUUGGAUUGAAAUGUUGAACACGUUUUCCUCUGCAAAGAUUCAGGAUAUUUAUGAACUUGCUAUAAAUUGUUUUAACUUUUCUCUGCAACUCUCAGUCCCUUUGUUUCUACCAUUUUGUUUUUGAAAAGCCUUUCAAUUUUCUCAAAAUAUCUUUCACUGCUGUGUUCUGUCAGAUACGAAACAUUGAGUCAAUGGAAGAGUCAACAAUUCGUAGAAUAUUAUAUUAUGGUGUCAAUAUUUAAUAAAUUUAUUUAUUUCUUUAACAUAUUUUAGAAAAUAACCAGUAAACAUAAAACUUUUAGUAUGACUAAAAGAAUAAAGAUAGUGUAAGAAUAACAGGAAUAACAUUACUACAAAUAACAAUAUAUUAAUAUUAAUAUGUUUCUUAAUAAAUUUUACACCCACUGUCUAUUUAUAAAUUAAUAUAUUAUAAACAUCUAUUGAUUUUUUGUGGGUAGCUUAUUUCUGUAACAUUUUAAAUUAAUUUUUUAGAUUUUACAAAACAUUACAUUUUGAUUAUAAUAUUUAGGACUGUGAUGCAAUUUCUGCAAUGAAGGCUGGCAGACUAAGUUUCUCCAAGCCCAAUUAAUACUGGGUUGAAAAUUCUGAGAAGAGGGUGAGUAUGAUGCUGCGGUCAUGAUCUAUGUAUUAAAGUGUUAAGGCAUGGGUUUGGUUGACAGGACAAUACUGGUUUUUCAUUGCUACUACUUAAUAUGAUUCUUUCUUACUGCUAUAUGAAUUUGCUGUCAAAUAGCAGUAAAUAAAAGACUUCAAAUAAAGCAUGUGUUUAUCAUACAUGGACUAAUGCAGCAGUUUUAGUAGAAGGGGCUAAUAUGAUUUUAAUCUAGAACAAGAUGGCUAAACCCAAAGAUGGUGGGAAUAAUAUCCUCAAAUCAAUUGUUUUGGUUUUCAGUGUAAUGUCAUUUGUAAGUAUCAAAAUUUGUUUGUUAUCACAUUGGAAGGUAGUAUCUGUCAUGAAAUUUGUGGAAGACCUUUACCUAUGUUUGCUUUGGGUCUGUUUUACGCCCUCUCGAAUUAAGUAAAUUUUUAAUUGCCAUCAUGAAAUUAGGCUAAAUAUGUGUAGUUUUGAGCACUUUCUUUCUUCCAUUUCAAUUCAUAGUUUCAUACAUAUUCAAUAUCAUGUGGGAAUUAAGUUCUUGCUUUUAAGGUGAAUAACAGUUUGUAUUCUUGCAGAAAACUAUUUUCUAAUGCAUAUAAAUUUCAUUUUCUAUUUUCAGCAUUGGAUUAUGUUAUGUAAUUUUUCCUUUGUAUUAUACAGAGUAGGAUUUUAAUGUUUCUACUGAACAGUGCUAUCUUUUUUCGUCCAUAUUCUGAUUUUGUUCAAUUUUUUUCAGUAUGUGCCACAUGCAGAUCAGAUGUAAGGAAUUUUCUAAAUUUUUUUUCAAGCUUUCUUGUUUGCUUAAAGUUUUCUGUAAGUAUUUAACUGUCUUAAGUUGUUAAUGAGGACUAAGGACUGAAAAAGAGAAUUAGCCAUGACAUGGUGGCAUUAUCCUUCUUCAAAACCAUUAGUUUUUUUUCCUACAAAGAUACAUGUCAAGAAAGCAAACCAGGAACAAAAGUGAUGUUUAUGAUUGCUUUCUCUCUUGUUUACUUGCUUUCUUUUUGUUGGACAAUUGUCUUAAUUGCAUUCACACCUAACCUGCAGUAGUUUCAGUCCCUUUGGGGUUGUCAUAAUUGCAGCCUCAAGAGUGGUGGUGUAGUCCAACAUCAACCAGUGAUAUAGUUCAAAUAUAGCAUAUACAUGAAAGUCGUGUUGAUAAUCAAAGGUUGCUUCAUCUUAACUAAUAACAUGUAAAUGUCAUUUGAAUGGUUAAAAAGGAAUUCACCAGUGUAACACAAAAUGAAUGGAUUGCUUGGUUAUGUGUCAACUGUUGUACUUUUUUUGAGUUGCUUGAAAAUAAUUAAAAUUUGUUUUCAUCUAGAUCUUGGUUUUUUCCUAUGAUCAAAUCUCGAUUUAUUUCUGUGCAGAACUUUCUUGUGGACAUAAAAGGACCAGCUAUAGCAUUUUUACCGGUGCUUGCAUUUGAAGGAGGAACUAGAAGAAAUAUACCUAGGUUUGAGGUGUGUAUAAAUUAUUUUUGAUGUAUUUCGUGAUGUAGAUGUAAAAUAAUGCAAUACUUUGUUUUUAGUUUCAAUGUUACUCUUUAUCUGCAGGUUGGAAACAUAUCUUGAUGAAAUAUAGAAACAUUUUUAUUCAUAAUAUAUAUAUAAGGAUUACACAUUCAUAAUUAUUUCUUUCUGUCGUAGCAUUGUCUACCUCAAAUCACUGCAACUUUCUGUUGUUGGUAUAAAAAUACAAUAUUUUAAUCCCAGUUUUGAUAGCCUCUAUUCUUCAGUGGUUGAGAUAUUUUUUAUAAGAAUUUAGAAGUUCUGAGAUAUUUAUGAUAAGAAUUUCAAGUUCUUUGUUACUAGCAGUUUAAUGGUUAUAUCAUUUUUGUUCUCUGGAAAAUAUCUUAUACAAAAUCGGUACUUAGAUUUGGUAUUUAUAUUGUUCAUAUGUAGAAAUCUAAUACUAGCAAAUUUUGUCUAAUUUAAAAGCAAUUACAUUCUACUCUUUGGAAUAUGUUCUGGCCUGCUUUUAUGAAUUAUUUGAAAAUUUGUAAUUAUAAAAUUUAGUCUUUGAAAUUAUAAAUUUAAUAGAGAAGCAUCCAUACUAAACUUUUAUAUUAUAAAUUGUCAGUUUUAUAUUGAAAACAUAUCCCCUUUAGUAUAAGACUUAAAGGAGAUGUCUUUUGGUAUAAAAACUGAAAUAAAAAAUAUUUUAACUAUAUGGGUCAAAUGGAUGAUUAAACUUAUAAAAUGUACAAUUAAACUUAUAAAUUAUAAUAAACGAUACUUUAAUUUUAAACUAUAUUGAACUUUUAUUAAUGUUCUCGCUUUUCUUUAAAAGCUAUUGAACUCUAUCUAACAAUAACUUAAAAAUGAGAAAUUCAUGAUAAAAUUUCAACACUUGUAAUCUAGAAGUAUUACGAUAAGCCAGAAGAGGAAGAGACUAGUUGACUGGGUAGCUUUCGGCGUUCCUCUUCCUAUCUUCCCCUGUUUCUCCUGAAGAGUGUGCAACAUUGCUUCCACUGAAUUCUUCAAUGUCAUUUUCUGAUGCAGAAUAGUCAACAGCACCACCAUAUUUAUCAUCUUUCUUUUUCGUAUAAAGAGGGCAUAUGCCGCAUUCUUUUAUUCUGAUACCUGAUUUCAACUCUCUCUCAACUGAUUCGUAAUCUGGCCGAUUUGGCCGCAGAAAGGGAUCAUACGGACUGAUCUCAAAAGUGAAGCUGCGAGCAUCACACAGCCUAAGGCUCAUGCCGCUCGCCAUUAGGGACUCCAAGUUAAAUUUCCACACGAAUGUCCCUUCACCAUCCCAUUUGAAAUAGCUAUUUAACACACCCUUAUAUGGAAUGAUCUGUGUGCCAUCAUCAUAUUCAAAUUUUAGGCUGUAACGAAAAGAACCAUAUCCACCUUUAAUAUCUAACACUCCAAAAGCUACACACAAAGCGAAACCAGUGAGCCUAUCAUCGCUGCAGAAACUUAAAUCUUCAUUUAUAGUCACUGAAUGUCCCUUCCCACGAAAAUUGAACCAACCAGGAACUGCACUCCCUGGAAAACAGAACAACACACACCUAUAUGUAUCGUCGAUCAUCCUAAGCCUUGCAUCCUCCUCGAUGUUAGCACGAGCACCUGAAUCCAGUUGUUGAGCAUUGGUGAAAUGAUAUUUGAAGACACCCUCUUUGGAAUUUGACAAGUUUGGAACAAGAGAAUUUGACAUCACUCUUCUAAUGGAUGGGCAAUCCAAUGCCUCGAGUUGUUCUAGAAAUGGUGGAAUCGGUGGAAUGCAUUCAAGCUUUUUGCAGUCGCUUAAAUCAAGUGAUUUCAGGCUUGAAAGAUGAGCAAUGCUCUCAGGAAGGUUCACGAUUCCGCUAUCACGCAGUGACAGUUCCAUUAAUGACGUCAAGCGACCGAUGUGUCUUGGGAUUUCUGUUAAUUUGGCACACCCCGAACAAUCAAGUUUAGAGAGAAGCUUCAUAUUAACAAUGGAGUUUGGAAGUGACUCGAGAUAAGUGCACUCUUGGAGUUCCAGGGAUCGAAGAUUAACCAAAUUGCCAAAUGAGGAAGGCAGUUCUUUAACAGCCGUACAUGUCAAGUCAAUAUGAGCAAAAGUAUGAGCCGGCUUCAUGAUCUCUGGGAAGGUCCUCAGCCUUGAGCAACCACCCAAAUCAAGCUUCCUCAAUUUCAAAUUGAAAAUGGUGCUUGGAAAAGUUUGAAGUGAAUUACAGUAGGUAAGGUGUAACUUGCAUAGUCUGGUGAGGCUUCCAAUGGAAGAUGGAAUAAUCUCAAGAUUCAAGCAACUGUGCGAACUCAGUUGUUGAAGCCCUACCAAACGGCACAAGGAUGAAAACUUAUUUUAUUUUUGCUGUUCAUGCAUAACAUUAACAAAUAUUGACAUGAGAGAUUGUGUUUGUAGGCUUCUAAGCUCACCAACGUGUCCCGUUCUUGAUGCUUUAGGGAAGAAAAUUUCCUUUGAGAUUGCAAAAGGACUCAGGAGAAUUUAGAAGUUCUGAGAUAUUUAUGAUAAGAAUUCAAGUUCUUUGUUACUAGCAGUUUAAUGGUUAUAUCAUUUUUGUUCUCUGGAAAAUAUCUGAUACAAAAUUGGUACUUAGAUUUGGUAUUUAUAUUGUUCAUAUGUAGAAAUCUAAUACUAUAGCAAAUUUUAUCUAAUUUAGAAGCAAUUAUAUUCUACUCUUUGGAAUAUGUUCUGGCCUGCUUUUAUGAUUGUAAUUAUAAAUUUAAUAGAGGAGAUUACCAAACAUCCAUACUAAUUAAACUUUUAUAUUAUAAAUUUUUUCAGUUUUAUAUUGAAAACAUAUCCCUUUAGUAUAAGACUUAAAGGAGAUGUCUUUUGGUAUAAAAACUGAAAUAAAAAAUCUUUUAACUAUAUGGGUCAAAUGGAUGAUUAAACUUAUAAAUGUACAAUUAAACUUAUAAAUUGUAAUAAACGAUACUUUAAUUUUAAACUCUAUUGAACUUUUUUUAAUGUUCUCGCUUUUCUUUUAAAUGCAUUUCACUUGUGUGUUUUGUAUUCAGGCUGAUUUUAACUUUAUUCUCAAAUAUACAAAAUAAUUUUUGGUAAUUAUCUUGUGUCGAUCUUGACUUGUAGUAUCAAUGUGAAAUAUGUAAUAAUUACUUUUCUAUGAUUCAGAGGGAAAAUUAUUCCAACUAGACUUUUACAAAUAUAUUUCAAGUGGUAAUAUGAUUUUAAAAAAAAUAGGAUUCGCCACAAAAAAAAGUUACUGUUCCUAAUUGACAUGGUGCUGUCAAAAUUAUUUAAUUACAAUUUAGAUCUUCACUCUACAUAUAAUUAAUUAAUUACCAAUUAUUUAAAAGACUAGUAAAUUAUAAUUUUAAUCUCUCUACAACUUUCUAAAUUUAGUUAUGAUUCUCUCAAAAAAAUUUCCCUUAAAUAUUAAUUAUAAUUACCUUUAGACAGAAACAUUUCUAAUUUAAACAAGCAAAAAUAAGAAAAAAAAAUAGAUUACAAAAACUAAAUUUGAAUUUUUUUAUAUAACUCCAAAUAUAUUUUAUCCAUAAAUAAAUUCUAUUAAUAUUUCAUUUCUGUUUAAAUAGUUUAUUCAUAUUUGUAAUAUUAUUUUCAAAAAACAAUAAUUGUUUUUUGAAUAAAGGUUUACAAAUUCUAUAAUAAUGUAAAUGAGAAGAGGAGUGAGGGUAAAAAUAUGAGAACCUAUGUGAGGGAAUCUUGUGACAAUUUAGCUGGUGUUCAACUUGUGAGAAGUCUUUCAACUUGGUUUUCAAGUUUUAUAUUCAAUUUCUGUUCCUUCAAAUGUUUCUGAUUUUACAGCUCCUCAGGAUUUUACAGCUCCAUGCACAAACCUAAUACAAUGAUAUGAUAUUCAAUCAGCAUUAAUUAGCAUAAACAGGUACCUUGUUGUAAAACUGGGAAUAUGAGAUUCCAUAGGAUGGAGAAAAGUAUGAAGAGGAAUUACCAAUCACCAUUUACCAAUCAUAAUGCCUUCACUACAAAUGCAACCCAAAUAUGCUAAAGAAGUUAAUGAAACUAUAUAUGAAGAGUUUCAAGAAGAUGCAACUCUGGGACAACAGAGCAACCCAUCUCAUGCUGAACACAAACAUCAAACUACAUCUAACAAUAAUUCAGAAAUCUUAAUCAACAAUUGAGCGAACCCACUCCUAAAAUGCCAUUGAGAAUGUAAAUAAAUCAAAAUACAUUAAAAACGAGAAAUUCUUAAUAAAAAUUCAACGUGUUGAACCUUGUAAUUUAGAAGUAUUAACGAGAAGCCAGUUUAGAUCCUCACCAAUGAAAGACUAUUUUACAGGUUAGCUUCCACUGGAUUCUUCAAUGUGAACAGCACCACCAUAUUUAUCAUCUUUCUUUUUGGAAUAAAGAGGGCAUAUGCCGCAUUCUUUUAUUGUCACAACUGACCACCCAAAGUCAUAAAGAGGACUGAUCUCAAAAGUGAAGCUGCGAGCAUCACACAGCCUAGGGCUUAGGGAUUCUAAGUUAAAUUUCCAGACGAAUGUGUGAUCUUUAUCAACAAAACUGUAUUCACCAUUCCAUUUGAAAUGUCUGUUUAACCUAUCAUUAUUUGGAAUGAUAUGUGUGCCAUCAUCAUCAGAUUCAAAUUUUAGGCUGUAACCAAAAGAACCAUAUCUACCUUUAACAGAAUUCGUAUCUAACACUCCAAAAACCACACACAAAGCGAAACCAGUGAGCCUAUCAUCGCUGCAGAAACUUAAAUCUUCAUUUAUAGUCACUGAAUGUCCCUUCCCACGAAAAUGGAACCAACCAGGAACUGUACUCCCUGGAAAACAGAAGAACACAGACCUAUAUCUAUCAUCGGUCAUCCUAAGCCUUGCAUCCUCCUCAAUGUUAGCACGACCACCUGAAUCCAGUUGUUGAGCAUUGGUGAAACGAAAUUUGAAGACACCCUCUUUGGAAUUUGACAAGUUUUGAACAAGAGAAUUUGGCAUCACUCUUCUAAUGGAUGGGCAAUCCAAUGCCACGAGUUGUUUUAGAAAUGGUGGAAUCUGUGGGAUGCAUUCAAGCUUUUUGCAGUCGCUUAAAUCAAGCGAUUUCAAGCUUGAAAGAUGAGCAAUGCUCUCAGGAAGGUUCACGAUUCCGCUAUCACGCAGUGACAGUUUCACUAAUGACGUCAAGCGACCGAUGUGUCUUGGGAUUUUUGUUAAUUUGGCACACCCCGAACAAUCAAGUUUAGAGAGUAGCUUCAGACUAACAAUGGAGUUUGGAAGUGACUCGAGAUCAGUGCAUUUGCGGAGCUCCAGGGAUCGAAGAUUAACGAAAUUGGCAAAUGAGGAAGGCAGUACUUUAACAGCCGUAUAUGAUAAGUCAAUGCGAGCAAAAGUAGGAGCCCGCUCCGUGAUAUCUGGGAAGGUACUCAGGCUUGAGCAACCACACAAAUCAAGCUUGCUCAAUUUCAAAUUGAAAAUGCUGCUUGGAAAAGUCUGAAGUGAAUUACAGCGGGUGAGGUGUAACUUGCAUAGUCUGGUGAGGCUUCCAAUGGAAGAUGGAAUAAUCUGAAGAUUGAAGCAACUGCGCAAACUCAGUUCUUCAAGCCCUAUCAAACGGCACAAGGAUGAAGGUAGUGCCUGUAUGGCUGUGGCGUCUAAGAUGAGCACCGCUAGAUCUUCCAACGUGUCCUGAAUCUCGGGUAAAUUUUCCAAUUUUGAGCAACCACGGAGAGAAAGUUGAUUUAUGAAUUUCAUAUCAGAAAGGUCAAUUGGAAAGAUUGUAAGAGAAGAACAGUGAGAGAGAUCUAUGUGAGAGAGCUUCUUGCCACUAAAUUGUAAGGGCACACCUUCGUAGUCUUCUGAGUAUUCUGAGUCUGUAGCAUUAUUAGCAUUUAUCUCUUUCAUCAUAUCCGGUUCCUGACGCUCCAGUAUGACAUGAGGGAGAAAUUUAUCUUCAUGUUCACCCAAUGAAAACAUAUUAAGCUUCUCACAACCGGAAACACUAAUCCAUCCUGGUGAUGUGGAUAAAAUGUUGCUGGGAAUAUUUACACUUUUGAGAUUAGAACAAUGAUCUAAACAUAAACAACUGAGCUUGGUGAGGAAUAUCGAAGAGUGAACUUCAAUCAACUUUGAACAAUAACUCAGCUUUAUUUCUUCAAUAUUCGGUGACAGAGAAAGGUCUGGUAUUCUAGUAAGUUCCCAAGAUUUAACCAGGUCGAGCCUUUUCAAGUUGGGUAAAUUCUGCCAGAAAUAGUAAAUGAAUGAGGUAACAAAUAAAAACUACUUUAUCUAUUUUUCUUCCUAUUUAAACUAUUAGCUACUAUCUAUUGAGUUUAUAUUUUACAUUACUUAAAAACCACUGUUAAAAAAACCACACUGUGGACUAACAAAACUCUGCCUAUAAAUUUUAUAGUUAUUAUAAAAAAUCACAAAAUUUAACGUCUUUUUGUUCCCUACCUAAAAUUACAUCCUAAUCAUUUGAACCUAAACUUAUUAUGUAUUCAAAAACUUAUGAUAGUAAUUUAUAAUCGAUCACAAUGUCAAAAUACUUUAUAUUAUACAUGUAUCAACUCACAAAAUAAAUGGUGUUGUCUCAGAUUUAAAAUUAAACCUUAGUUAAAAAGUCCAUCUUUCCAUAAUUUAUUUUAUUAAAUACAUAAUUUGUAAUUUAUUGUAUAUUAUAUUCAAGUUUAUGUUAUGAUAAAAAAAGUAUCUAAGGCAUUUUUAAUUAAAUAAUAUAAAAUAAACAACAUGAACUCAAUUAAAUAAUAUAAAUUUUUUUGAAUACUCGAUGGAAUAAAAAAAUUAAUAAAACCCUCAAUUUGAAAAUAACCAAAUUUAUAAGAUACUUAAAACUUAAUUAAACCUACAAAUUUUCAUUAUAUGGAAUUAAAUAUUGUAAAGAUUUACCACAUAAGUUUCAUAAGUAGAAGGUUUAAACAUAAAAUUCUUCACGUUGGGAGUUUCUUUCCUCUAUCUUAUAAGUUUUCGUUGUUUCUUUAAUAUUUUUUAUAUGGCUUCUGUCAAUGUAAUUUUUUUUUUGGUUUUAAAAUAUUAUUAAAGAUAAAAUAUGAAGACAGGGUAAUUAAAUUAAAUAUAAUUUUUAUUUUUCAGAAAUGAUGAAAAUUAUAAUUAAAUUAACUAAAUUAUAUAAAAUUCCAUUUUAUUUACAUAACUCAUUUUCAUAUUAAAAAACUAUAUAAGAUCUUCCAAAGUAGAUAUAAUACAUUCACGGGCCAUUAGAUGAUAUGCCUAAAAAAAUAUGCAAACUAUUAAAUUUAUAAUUAUCUUUAAUUAGAAACAUGCUGAGUAUGACUCAAAUAAAAGAAAUUUCAAAUCGAAUAAUGUCGAGAAGGCACAAAGGAAUUGCAAAUGAAAACUUGUAUAUGUAUAAUACAGAAAACAUGCUUGUAUAAUUUAUUUUUAUCUUUGAAAGUUUAGAACACAAAGGAACAUAGAUAGCUUGAAAAACCUGAUCUCCUUCCCAGAGUUGUUCAAGAUGGCAGAAUGGCAUUUCGAGGGUCACUAGAUUUUGUGGGCAAAAGUUUGGAGGCCAAAAUCUUUGAGGGAAAUGUGUCCAAUAAAGAAUCUUUAGAGUGUCUGGCAUAUCCACAAGAGGUGAUUCAAAAGACACUUUUAAUUCCAAUCCCCACGUGUAGAGCCUAAGCACCCUAAGAUUGUUCAUCUUUUCGAAACUUUGUGCAUGUACUACAACUUCUUUUACUUUGAAAGUAGAUAGUGAUAUACACUCUAUUGAAGUAGAUAGUGAUAUACACUCUAUUGCAUCUGACCCCUGAAAGUAAAUCAUGAAAUGUUGCAUUGCAGGAUGUUUGAUGACAGCUCAGUGGUUUGCAAUUUUUCACAAAGUAAAUCCAUUCUCAAUUGAGUAACGACAUAAUACCUUGUUCUUUCUUAAAACCUCUCAAAUUUCCUCAGCAUUAAACAAUCGGCUGCGUUUUCCAGGAUGCUGAGGACACUCUUUACGAACAAUUUCUUUACCCAUUUCUUGUAUUAGAUCGUGCAUCACAAUUCUACCAUGAAAGACAGAUAUUAGGCCCCUAUCUUUGAGAAUAUCCAUUCCAAUCUUGGAAGAGAAACCACAGUCAGCAAGUAUUUCUGCUACCACAAUCUCUUGUGACCUAUAUAAAAGCAAGCUAUGUCAAGAAAUAUAUUCUUCUCCUCCUCCUCGAGCCCAUCAUAACUUAAUUUUAAUACAUUGAAAAUACCAAGAUGUUGGCCCUUUUCCAACUUUUGCAACUGACUCUCCCAUGCUUCUCUUGUUCUUCCAUAAAGCAAUGACCCCAAAAUCUGGAGAGCUAAUGGAAUCCCUUUUGCAUAUCUCAACACCUUUUCUGACAGUUCCCUGUAAGCAAUUUCUUCUGAAGAUUUUUGUUUAAAAGCAAGUAAACUAAAAAGUUUCUGAGAAUCAUCAAAAUUCAACUCCUUAACUUCGUAGAUAUCAUCAGCUCUAGCAUUCUUAAGCACUUGUUUGUCUCUACUGGUGAUAAUGAUUCUACUGCCCUGCCCAAAACUAUCACUCCCUCUUAUUAAUUUUUGAAGUUGAGCUGAAUCGGUAACAUCAGUUAGAAGUGGAACACGUUUGUAGAAGUGGAACACGUUAGUUGGUUAGUUGCCUUAAGAAGCGGAUCAUGUAUUUUUUCUUGAACGUCUAAAACAAGGCUGCUGGAAUCAAACUGCAAUUCCAAUUUGUGAUAUAUUUGAUCACAAAUUGUAGUUUUUCCUAUUCCUCCCAUGCCACAAAUGCCUAUGAUCCGAACAUCCGGUAAGUCAAGAUGCAACAAGGACUGAAUUCCUUCAAUAUUUUUUUCAAUGCCGAUGAUUCCUUGAUCAUAACUGAUGGAAUAACGAUUCAAUUUUCUCAAAAUAUCUCCCACAAUUCCUUCAACAAGUGUGUGUUCUGACCUGGCAGAUGAUUUAGAAAAUAAAGUAUAAGUAUUCAUGCACAAAAGCUAAAACAAAACUAAAGAAAAAUUCAGAGUCAAGAAGAGUGAACAUCAUUGAAUAGAUUCACAUAUUGAUUGUAGGACGUUAUCUUCGAAUAUUAGUGUGGUUGGUUUAGAAAUUGCAAAUCAAGAUCGCAGAAAUUCUACAGUAACCGGUAGUGACUUCUGAUACUAGGAAGCAGUCUUGUAGGUACAAAGUUAAGCUAUAAGAUGUGAUAUGGUUCAGAUCUAUGACCCACUACGAAAAAUGGAAAAAAGAAACACUUGAUUUAUGGUGAGAUGAACACAAUUUUAGUAAAUGAAAAGAGAUCCUGAUUAUCUAAUAAAUAUAAUGACCUGGUGACUUUUGAAUCCCAGCCUGAAAGUCCAGCAGCUUCGGUGAGAGCAUCCUUCCAUCCUUGCACUUUGUCGUGCUUAAAGUGCUGCUCAUGCUCAUCGAAUGCUUCUUUGUAUCUUUCUUCCUGCUUCCUAAUAGUUGACGGAUCCACCUUGUAGAAAACAGGUAUGACAUCCCUUCCAUAUCUCUUCUUGCAAUCAAGUAUCUUAGUGAGUUCAUUCAAGCACCAAGUGGAAGAUGCAUAGUUUUGGGAGAAAACGACGAUAUAAAUCUUCGAUUCUUCUAUUGCAGAGAGCAGUGCAGAUGAAAUUUCUUCGCCCCGGGGUAGUGUCUCAUCAAUAUAUGCUUCUAUGUUCUUCCUUUGCAGUGCUGGAUGAAGGUGGCUAAUGAAGUUGUCACGUGUGUCUUCCCCUCUGAAGCUGAGAAACACAUCAUGCUUUGUUAGAGAAGUGGACACGGGGAAUGAUGAAGAACUUCCUGUUUAAUUUCUUCGCCCCUGUUUAAUCUGUAAUCAAUAUAUGCUUCAAUGUUCUUCCUCUGCAGCGCUGCAUAAAGGUGACUAAUGAAGUUGUCACGUGUGUCUUCCCCUCUGAAGCUGAGAAACACAUCAUGCUUGGUUAGAGAAGCAGACAUGGCCAAUGAUGAAGGGUUUCAAUUUUCUCUGCAACUCUCAGAUCCCUUUGUUUGUAAGCAACUUGCAUAUAUUCUAUUUCUAUCACAAAUCAACUUUUGGAAAAGCCUUCAAUUCAAAAUAUGCUUCACAGCUUUAUAUUAACGUGCCUAGCUUUAUACCAUUCUUACGCAUUGGUAAAGAUUCUUCAAUAUCUUUACUCAAUUUGUUUCUUCAAUACCUUUUACACAUUCUUACGCAUUGGUAAAGAUUCUUCAAUAUCUUUACUCAAUUUGUUUCUUCAAUACCUUUUACAUAUAAAGAAUCGGAUUUGUUUAAUAUAUUUUAGAAAAUAACCAGUAAACAGAAAACUAGGUUAAUAUGACUAAAUGAAUAAAGAUAGUACUCAUAAAAAAUAUUUUAGAUUACAAGUGGUAUAACUAAAAUAAAAUAUUUUAUUUUUAAAAUAAAAUUUAUAAAUAAAUAAAAAAAUAUAAUUGUUUAGUUUUCGGUGUAAAACAAUAUUCAUUUUUAUAAAAAAAAAUCUUUUCUCUUUUAUUUUAUUUUUAUAUUUCUAAUUAGAGUAUUCUUGAGUUUGACAAUAGAAUCCUUUCUUUGGACUUUUGGAAUUAAAUAAAGAUGUUAAUUGAAAAAAAAAAUUGAAAUAGAAACUAAUUUAGAAACCAAAUUUCUUUUUAGUUUCUAAAAUGGUCUCUAAUUUAGUUACUAUUGCAACUAAUUGUUUUGGUUUCUAGAAAUUGGUUUCUAUUUCAUGAUUUUCUUGUAGUGUAUACUGAAGGUGUGCACCCCUAUGAAAUGUUUUUAUUUCUAGUUGAUGUGUGAUUUCCAAUAAUUAUAUAAAUUGAUUGUUAUAUGCAGUGUGAAGUUUAACCUUGAUUUUUACUUGAAAAAAUGGAUUUUAAUAUGAGGUAUGCAUGCUCUCAUACUCAAAUUCAAUAAGCGGAAUUUUCACAUGUCAAUAGAAUUUGAACCUGCAUAGUUUUGGGCACUCUCCACCUCAAAUUCGCUCAAUGUUUUUUCCUGCGUUUAAGCGAAAUUACAUGCAGAUUUUGGAGUACUUUCGGGCUUAAAAUUGCUCAAAGAAAUUUCCCUAUGGCAAGCAAAUUUAAGCUACAAUUGUUUGGGUGUUCUUUGCCUCAAAUUCGUUGCCUCAAAUUCGUUCAGCGAAGAUUUCUCUGGGCUUAAGCCCCAACUUCAUGGGCUCGAGCCAUUUUGACAACAUUUGUCAUCUUUGCUUAGAUAUCUUUUGGUUUGUUUUCUAUAGGUCAUGAAAUUGAAUUAAAUCUUUUGAAAUUUAACAUGUGUUUAAAAUAAGUAAAUCUAACAUUUAUAAUCAUGCAACAUGUGUUUAAUUUAUAAAAAAAAUAUAAAACAAAUACUCAUUAUAUAUUCAAUUGAUAUGUAAAAUUUUAAAUAUUAUGUGAUUAUUGUUGAUAUUUUGUAACGGUUUUAAAAAUAUAAACUUCUAUAUGAUUGAAUGAUAUAUUAUCGAUACAUAGUAAUUUCAAGUAAGGAAAUACUUUGUUAAGGAUAGUUAGGAUGUGUCUUGAUUAGUAAUACAUUUAGAAUAAGAUAUUUGACUCUAUUCACAUAUUAAGGUGGUGACAGUCAAAUGAGAUUUAUAUGAUUUGAUCUACAAUAUAAAAAAUCAUAAUCUAACAUGCCAUAUGAAUUAACCUUGUCAUAUUAGGUGAUUCUAUUAUGAUAUUCUUAUUCGCAUAGAUGUGUGAAUUUCACAAUGGGGUAUUAUAACAUGUGCAAAUUUUUUAGUCUAAAUCAAUGUACGAUUCUUUCAGAAAUAGGGUCAAGUGUACAUGUGGAUCUAAUUAGAUUUUUGACAUGAGUAAUAUGGAACACAAGUCAUUUAGAGACACUUAAUUGUUUAAUAUAUUAGGAAUGAAUGAAGUGUGAUUAUUCAUAUGAUUAUGAUUGAAUGAUUCAAAUAUAAAUUUUAAAAAUCAUUAACUUAGCCUAAUUUCUUGUUAGUAUCAUUUUUUUGUUAGUAUCGUUUUUUUUUUAGAUUUGUUAUGAUCGUGAGUUACAUGUGAACAUAUGAUGUUGUAUGUUAUAGGCCUCAAAAUUGAAAAUGAGAGAGUUUUUUCUUUUAAUUCUUUUGAUGUUUUAUUUUGAUGUAUAUAUUUGAUUAUGAUAUAAUAAUAUUACAAUGUAAAUGUUAUUUAUAUACUAUCACAUGGUAAAUUAAAAUUUAAUAAGGUAGUUAAGGAUGUUAUAAUUAUUCUUUUAAUUUAUUUUAUUUCACUGUAUAUUUAGGUGUAUUACGUAAAAUGUAUAGUUAAAAAAAAUAAUGUUAUUUUGAAAUUUAAGCUUUUGUUAAAAUUAUACCAUUUGAAAAGGAACACAGAACAAUCUUGACAAUUAUACUGACUUAGUACUUAUUUUAAUUUAUUAUAUUCAUGAGUAUUAUUUUUUUCUUAAACAUAAAUAUUGGAUAAAAAAUAUAAAUAACAUUUAUUUAUUUCAAAUUUAAAAAUCUUUAAAAUAAAUAUAAAUAAUAUUUUUAAUCAAGAUGUGUUUUUUAACAAUUUUUUUUAAUUUAAAAAUAAUUAAUUCGGACGAUGAUUAAAGAAAUAUUAACAAAUUAUUUCUGCGAUUAUAAUAAACCUUCAAUAAUUUUUGCACUUUCUAGCAUAUAGAAUAUGGAUCCUUUUGUGAUUUUUCUUUUCUAAAGUACAAUUGAUAUUUUAAAUGUUUUUCUAUUUAAUUUUCCUUUCUUAAUGCACAUAAAAAUUUCAGUGCACAAUUAUUACUCACCUUAAUUCAAAAUGGAAAUUAAAAUUCAAGAACCCUACUUAUAUAUUAAUAUUCAACGAUUUAAAAUAUUAGUAUGCAAAUUAAUCUUUCUUAAUAAUAUUUGUAACAAUUUUUAAUAAUUCAAUGUGAAAUAUGUAAUAAUUACUUUUCUAUGAUUCAGAGGGAAAAUUAUUCCAACUAGACUUUUACAAAUAUAUUUCAAGUGGUAAUAUGAUUUUAAACAAAAAUAGUAUUCUCCACAAAAAUAAAUAGUUACUGUUCCUAAUUAAACAAGUCACAUUCUUGAACAAAAUAUCAAAUAACAAGGAAUUAGACUAUGAAAUGAUGACCAAUUAUAUUAAACAACAUAACAUACAUUUCUCAAUGUACACAAGGUAUAAAUAAUACAAUAUCAUCCAAAACCUGUGUUCACUAUGUAAAUAAACCAUUUUUUUUGCCAUUACCUCUUUCAUGAUGAUGAUUUGUUUACUAGGGAUUGCAAUGAUAGGUCAUGAUCAAAACUUAGGCCUAAGACUAAAAAUAGAAUGAAAUGAGCAUGAAAAUAAAGAUAACUUUUGAGUGAGACACAUUCUUCCUUACAAGCAGCAAGUUCUUCCAGGUUAUCUUCUCUUCCUUCAACCGUAGCUGUGCAACCGCCUGUUGUUCAUUGCCACCAAUAUCUCUAGUGCCAAAACUAUGUUUUCCAAAAUUAGAGUUAUAUGGCUUUAUCUGUGAAGUCUUACCAGCCAUAAUGUUUUAUUUUACUGUUUUGUUGUAAUCAUGCCAAUAGAUAAAUCGUGGAUUUGUAAACCACGAAACACCAUUGAGUAUGCAAAUGGGUUGAAUGUGUUUUUGGAUAUUGCAUUUCAACAUGCUAAUGGUCCUGUAAUUAAGUGUCCAUGUGCAAAGUGUGGUUUCAAAAAGUGACAAACAAGGGAUGUAAUCCAAGAACACUUAACAUUUACAACUUUCCCUCAGAACUACAAAACUUGGUAUUUGCACGGUGAAAGACCAAGUGUAAUUGAGCCUAUGGUCACUACAAGUGUGCAUGUCAUUGAAGAUUUAUUUGAAUCUCAAAAUACAAUGGAAGACAUGUUGAAUGAUGCAUUCGAGUUUGCGGGACAUGAUGAGGAUACUGAAGUUGAUGGUUUGCAAACUAAUAUGGUGGGUGAUGAAGGAAUAUGAACUUUGAUGAAUUGAUGAGGGACAAUAAUGAACCCUUAUAUGAAGGUUGUACAAAGCAUUCGAAGUUAUCAUUCAUGUUGAAGUUGUACCAUAUCAAAUGCAUGAGUAGAAUGAGUGACAAAGCAAUGACCAUGAUUCUAGACUUGCUAAUGAACACAUUUGAACAUGCUAAGUUUCCUAACUUGUUUUAUGAGGCGAAGACUGUGAUUACCAAACUUGGACUUAAUUAUGUCAAAAUACCAGCUUGCCCAAAAGACUGAAUGCUAUAUUGGGGCGAAGACAAUGAAGGCUUAGAAGAAUGUAAACGGUUCAAAACGUCUAAGUGCAAAAAAAAAAAAAGAUAAGAAGCAAUUGCAUUACUUUCCAUUAAAACUGUGAUUGCAAAGAUUGUUUAUGAGUUCUAAGAUGAUUGAGUCUAUGACAAGGCAUGCAUCAAAGGAUAAUCAAGAUGGAUUGAUGAGGCAUCCUAGAGAUUCUGAGGCUUGCAAAUCAUUUUAUUGCAUCCAGAAUUUGUAAAUGACCAUUGAAAUGUACGAUUAGACUUAGCUGCUUAUGGCUUUAAUCCUUAUGAAAACAUGAGUAAAAACCAUAGUAUAUGACGAGUGGUUAUCAUCCCAACAAUCACCCUCCUUGGGAGUUAUGAAGCAAACAUCUUUUAUCCUCUACAUGAUAAUUUCUGGAAAACAAAUGGUAGAAAAUGACAUUGAUGUUUAUUUAAAACCACUUAUAAGCAAAUUGAAGGAGUUAAUAGUAUGAUCAUGUAAUUAUUAUUUAUAUACUAAAUAUUACGACAUAUAGUAAUUUAAAAUUUGAUAAGGUAGAUGAGGAUAUUAAAAUAUCUCUUUUAAUUUAUUUUAUUUUAUUGUAUAUUUAGGUGUAUUAUGUAAAAUAUAUAAUUAAAAAAAAUAAUGUUAUUUUAAAAUUUAAAGAAUCACGUAUAGAAAGAAACAUAUAACAAUCUUGACAAUUAUAUUCUGACUUAGAGAUACUUAUCUUAAUUUAUUAUAUUCAUGAGUAUUAUUUUUUUCUUAAACAUAGAUAUUGGAUAAAAAAUAUUAAUAAUAUUUAUUAUUUAAAUUUUAGAAAUAUUUAAAAUUAAAAUUAAAAUUAAAUAAUAUUUUUAAUUAAAAUAUGAAAAAAAUUCCUUAACAAUUUUUUUAAUUUCAAAAUAAUUAAUUCAGAGGAUGAUUGAAAAAAUAUUAACAAAUCAUUUCUGCGUUUAUAAUAAACCUUCAAUAAUAUUUGUACUUUCUAUCAUAUAGAAUACUUAAUGGAUCCUUUUGUGAUUUUUCUUUUCUAAAGUACAGUUGAUAUUUUAAAUGUUUUUCUAUUUAAUUUUCAUUUCUCAAUGACAAAUAAAAUGGUUCAGUGCACAAUUAAUUAUUCUCACCUUAGAUUUCAUUCAUCUCAUUCCAUUUCCACACUCAAAUCAUUCUCACAUUUUUUUCUACCUAUUUCACAAAGUUUUUGUUAAAAUAUGGAAAUUAAAGUUCAAGAACCCUACUUAUAUUUCAUAUUCAACAAUUUAAAAUAUUAAUAUGCAAAUUAAUAUUUCUUAAUAAUGUUAUUUUUAUGUAAAAAUUAAAAUGUAGUUUAGUCAUUCAUACUUAGAUGGAUAAAAAUGGUUUUAGAAAGAAAAAAAUAUGCAUUUUUUUGAAAGGUUAUCUAAACUCUAAACUCAUUGAUGAAUUAAUAAUAAUAAAUAAUAUGGAAUUCUAUACGAAUAGCAUAUAAAUGUUUUCUUGUUGAAACUGAUAAUUAAUUCAGUCUAGGGACAAUUAUCGCGGUAUUUGUUCUUUUAUUUUUAAUGUUUAAACAAUUAUAAAAUUCUGUUUUUAGAUAUUAAAAUGAUAGUUUUCAUUUACAGAUUAAAAUAUUACUUGUUUCUUUUAAGAUUUUUUGUAUUAUAAUUAUUUGUUGUCUGAAUUGUUUUGAUUUAACAUGUUGUUUUCUUGGGCUAUGAUAUUGUGAGGUUUUAUUACAUGCAGGUACGUGAAUAUUUUUUUUAUCCUAGUUGUAUAAAUCAGGAAAAUUGUUUUUCACAUUAUAAUAACCGUUUAACAACUCUAAAUAAUAAUAAAAUAUUAACUCAUAUUGUUUAAUUAAAGUAUAAAUUAAAUUAUUAAAUAAAAAAGUAGUAAAACUGGUUGCAGGAUGGGAAUAUGAUUAUUUUUAACUGCUAGCUCCUGAUUAUUCUUUUCUAAUAAAAAAAACACCAAUAGCAACAAAACAAGUUUUGACACACGUAGGUUUGGCAAUUGUUUUAAUAGCUGAAAAUAGUACAACAAUUUUUAAUUACCACAAACUGCAUCUUAAAUCAUAAAAAAUUAGCAUUUUGUUAGUUCAUAUAUAAUAAAAUUUCCAUAAAACAGCCAAUUGUAUUAAUUAUUAAUAAUGUAUUUACAAUUUUUUUAGAUAAUUUUUUUACUAUAAAGACAUUUAUUUGAGAUUGAAAUUGUAAUUAACACUUUUUGGUCAAAGAAUAAUAUAUUUCACUUGAUUUUUUGUAUUAAAUAUUUUGUAUAGCGCUGAGACAAAAAAAAAUCUCAUAUAAAUCCCUAUGUGCUACAAGUACAAUAUAACAUCCUUAAUGUAAGCAAUAAAAAUGAUGAAUACUCAAAGUCGUGUAAUUACGCAAAAGAAUCAAGUGAUUUUUAAAAGAACUCACAUGAUCAGUUUAAAUUUUGACGAUAAAAUACAUUAAUUAUAUAUAUUUAUUCAAAAUUUCAAUUAUAUUAUGCAUUAAUGGUUUUAUGCUUUUAGAGGAAUCAGAGAAACUUAGAAAAGCUCCUAAAAACUAAUGUAACCCUAUGAAUAGAAGAGAGCUAAAAGAAAGAGAAAAUGGAAGUGAGAAAAGAUGAUAAUUAAUAAACACGCUCUCUUCAUAACAUAGAGUCUUUAAACCUAUAUUCCCUCAAACAAUUAUAAAGAAUUAACAAUCACACUUUUAUAAGUCAUCACCCACAUGAAACAAAACAAGGUGCCUCAAUAUGAAUAAACCAAGAUUAAUAAGAAAUAUGAGGUUUCACUAACCAAGCUCAGAAUUUUCUGCUUUUAUAGCUCCAUGCACAAACCUAAUACAAUGAUAUGAUAUUCACUGCAAAUGCAACCCAAAUAUGCUAAAGAAGUUAAUGAAACCCAAAUAUAAAGAAUUUGAAGAGAAUGCAACUCUGGGACAACAGAGCACACCAUCUCAUGCUGAACAGAAACAUCAAACUAUAUCUAACAAUAACUAUACCUAUGUUUGCUUUGGGUCUGUUUUUAGUUUCAAUGUUACUCUUUAUCUGCAGGUUGGGAACAUAUCUUGAUGAAAUAUAGAAACAUUUUUAUUCAUAAUAUAUAUAAGGAUUACACAUUCAUAAUUAUUUCUUUCUGUCGUAGCAUUGUCUACCUCAAAUCACUGCAACUUUCUGUUGUUGGUAUUUGCAUAUCACGAUGGUUAUUGAGAAAUUUAGGAGUUUGCUGUUGUGUACCAGAAGUAAAAUAGAAGGUUCAUUUUUUGGUCAUCAUCAAUUAUUAAUGUAAAUAGAUAUAGGUGAAGGAGAUCAGUAUUAUGCAUUGUAUCAUGGACCAUUAGAAGACUAGGGUCACCAAUUGGAGGCAUUGGUAACUUUGGCUAGUAAAACUAAAACCAAAGUCCAUUUUUACAAAGCCUUGGUCUAAUUCACCUUAUAGCUGUACUUUUUCCUCCAUUUUAAUAAUAUUAAGUUUUCAUUUUCUAUGCAUAAUCUUGGGUAAUUUUCUUUUUAUAUCAAUGCUUGAAGUGUCAAAUUGUUACAAGCUGGAUUAUUAAGAAAGAAAAGAGUGCAUUCUGGAUGCUCGAAAGGGAGUGUUUCCUAGAAAAAAAAUGUGAUUUCAGGGUGUCCAGGCUCAGGUAGCAAUGGUAGGAGUUCCACAUUGAAAUGGAUGAACUACUUGAUUUAGUACUUUGGGACUCUCUCACCUAAUGGACUAGUAUUUUGGGUUAGCUUCUCUCCCCUUAAUGCUUAAGUCCUAAAAAACAGUUUUUCUGUUUCUAUUUAUCUUUUAGGGUGUGAUUAGGACCAUGAAGCAGUGGGUGUUUUUUCCAUUAAUGAACUUUGCCACUGCCACAGAUCACCUAGGUUAACCUAAUUAAGUCUUCUGAAUUGUAUUUUGUAAUUAAUUCUUGUAAAACAUGGAGUGUAAAAUUCAUGUACAUUUUUCUUUUCCUCUUUUGAUUUGGAUGUCAAACUAGCAACUUCAUGUUUUGUCUGGUUGGUCUAUCACAUUUAUGUAGGUUGUAAUCUAUUUUGCCUAAUGCAUCAGUUGCAGAUAGGUACUAAAUUAUCUUAGUUCGGAUACACCUUGCCAAUUAGAUUAAGAUCAAGAAUUUAAAGUGAAUGGUUCACUUCUGAGUUCUUAAAUGAGAUAAAAUGUUCAGAGAUACUAAAUCAUCGCCUUCAUUUGAAAAUUGGCGUGCCUAUUAUGCUUUUGAGAAAUAUUGAUCAAACCAACGGUCUUUGUAAUGGAACAAGGUUGCAAGUUAUUGAUUUGAAGAAAAUGUUAUUUGUGCAAUAGUUCUAACAGGAACAAAUAUUGGUGAUAAAAUCUUCAUUUCAAGAAUGAAUUUGAUCCCUUUAGAUGUAGGUAUGCCAUUCAAAUUCCAGAGAAGACAAUUUCCAAUAGCUUUAUGUUUUGCAAUGACAAUUAAGAAAAGCCAAGGUCAAUUAUUGACCAAAGUUGGUUUAUAUUUUUCACAUCCAAUUUUCACACAUCGAUAGUUGUAUGUAGCUAUUUAUAGAGUUCGAAAGAAAAAAGAUUUAAAAAUUCUAACUCUUGAUGAAGAUGGAAUGCAACAAACAAGAAAAAGAAAAUGUUUACACUGAAAUUUUUGACAAUAUUUGAAAACAAUAGAAUUAUAUGAUAAACUUGGAAUGGCUAAUUCUCCCUGCAACCAAUAUUUUUGAACCUGCAACUUUUAAAUUUUUGAAAAUGCUCUUUAUUCCAGAAAUGAAAAUAAUACAUUACAAAAAAAAUAGAUCCAAAAAAGAUUAUUGUGUUUUGGUAAUAAAAAUCGGAAAACAAAAAUCAAAAGCCCAUUAUGAAUAAGAAAAUUCGUAAUACAAAAAAUUUGGUCUUAAAAACAAAAUCUGAAAACAUAUUCCAGAAAGAAAAUCCGAAAUGUAUUUUUAUAUAUAACCCAUUUUUUCAAGGGAGUUUCGUCUUUUCUAUUGUAAAAGGGGUUGGAAUUUGCUCCCUUGGAAUUAUAGUUUCUUAUGUGUGAUGUAGUAACAGUUGCCUUAUUUAAAAUGUUACUAAAUAACAUAUAAUUUAUAUCUGUUAUUUUUAUUCUGUUAUGACUUUAUAUAUUUGUCACAACAUGAAUGAGGCACAAACCCAUCUCAUGUUAACGAAGUUGAGAAUUUUCUGAUUUUACAGGUCCAUGCAAAAAUCUAAUAUAAUGAUAUGAUAUUCAAUAUCAAGAGGUACUUGUCGUAAAACGGGGAAUAUGAGAGACUCCAUAGAAUGAAGAAAAAGUAUAAAGAGGAUUUACAAAUUAACCUUUCAAAUGCAGCUCCUCAGAAUUUCAUAAUGCCUUCACUGCAAAUGCAACCCAAAUAUGCUAAAGAAGUUAAUCAAACAAUACAUGAGGAGUUUCAAGAAAAUGCAACUCUGGAACAACAGAGCAACCCAUCUCAUGCUGAACAGAAACAUCAAACUAUAUCUAACUUAGAAAUCUUUGUCAACAAUUGAACGAACCCACUCCUUAAAUACCAUUGAAAAUGUAAAUAAAACAAAAUAAAUUAAAAACGAGAAAUUCAUAAUAAAAAUUAAACGUGUUGAACCCUGUAAUUUAGAAGUAUUAACGAUAAGGCAGUUUAGAUCCUCACCAAUGAAAGAGACUAGCUGACUAGGUAGCUUUCGGCCUUCCUCUUCCUAUCUUCCCUUGUUUCUCUUGAAGACUCUGCAAUAUUGCUUCCAUUGGAUUGUUCAAAGUCAACAGCACCACCAUAUUUAUCAUCUUUCUUUUUCGUAUAAAGAGGGCAUAUGCCGCAUUCCUUUAUUGUGAUACCUGAUUUCAACCGAAAGUGAUAAUCACACGGACUGAUAAGUGAAGCUGCGAGCAUCACAGAUUCUAAGGCUCAUGCCGCUCGCCCUUAGGAACUCCAAGUUAAAUUUCCACACGAAUGUGUGAUCUUGAUCAACACAUCUCUCUUCACCAUUCGAAAUAGCUGUUUAACACAUCUAUCAUCGCUGCAGAAACUUAAAUCUUCAUUUAUAGUCACUGAAUGUCCCUUCCCACGAAAAUGGAACCAACCAGGAACUGCAGUCCCUGGAAAACAGAAGAACACAGACCUAUAUCUAUCGUCGGUCAUCCUAAGCCUUGCAUCCUCCUCAAUGUUAGCACGACCACCUGAAUCCAGUUGCUGAGCAUUGGUGAAAUGAAAUUUGAAUACACCCUCUUUGGAAUUUGAGAGGUUUCGAACAAGAGAAUUUGGCAUCACUCUUCUAAUGGAUGGGCAAUCCAAUGCCACGAGUUGCUUUAGAAAUGGUGGAAUCUGUGGGAUGCAUUCAAGCUUUUUGCAGUCGCUUAAAUCAAGCGAUUUCAAGCUUGAAAGAUGAGCAAUGCUCUCAGGAAGGUUCACGAUUCCGCUAUCACGCAGUGAUAGUUCCAUUAAUAACGUCAAACGACCAAUGUGUCUUGGGAUUUCUGUUAAUUUGGAGCACCCCGAACAAUUUAGAGAGAAGCUUCAGAUUAACAAUGGAGUUUGAAAGUGACUCGAUAUCAGUGUAUUUCUGAAGCUCCAAGGAUCGAAGAUUAACGAAAUUGCAAAAUGAGGAAGGCAACUGCGCAAACUCAGUUGUUGAAGCCCUACCAAACGGCACAAGGAUGAAGGUAGUGCCUGUAUGGCUGUGGCGUCUAAGAUGAGCACCGCUAGAUCUUCCAACGUGUCCUGAAUCUGGGGUAAAUUUUCCAAUUUUGAGCAACCACGGAGAGAAAGUUGCUUUAGGAAUUUCAUAUCAGAAAGGUCAAAUGGAAAGAUUGUAAGGGAAGAACAGUAAGAGAGAUCUAAAUGACAGAGCUUCUUGCAACUAAAGUGUAAGGGCACACCUUUCAUGAAUUUUGUCAACACUUCUAAGUAUAUAGUAUUAUUAGCCACUUCUUCUUCUUCAUUAUAUCUGUCAAAAGUAAUUGAGGAAGUUGGGAAAAUAUGACCACUGUAUGCACGAGGUUCACCACGCCGUCCUGCACCAUGCCGUUCUGAGAAAUUUAUCUCUUUGAUCAUAUCCGGUUUCUGGCGAUGGAAUCUUGAGAAAGUUUGACGUUGACGCUCCACGCUCCAGUAUCACAUGAGGGAAUCUUGAGAAAUUUCCACGUUGAUGCCCCAGUUUCUGAUGUGGGUAUCUUGUGACGCUCCAGUUUCACAUGACGAAAUCUGGGUUCACUGGUUGAAAACAUAUUAAGCUUCCCACAACAGGAAAUAUUAAUCCAUCCUUGUAAUGUGGAUAAAAUGUUGCUGGGAAUAUUUAUACUAUUCAGAUCAUAACAAUUAUCUAAACAUAAAUAACUGAGCUUGCUGAGUAAUAUCGAAGAGUGAACUUUAAUCAACUUUCCACAAUAACUCAGAAUUAUUUCUUCAAUAUUUGGUAAGAGAGAAAAGUCUGGUAUUCUAGUAAGUUUCCGAGAACCACUCAGGUCAAGCCUUUUCAAGUUUGGUAAAUUCUGCCACAAAUAGUAAAUGAAUCAGGUAACAAAUAAAAACCACUGUUAAAAAAAUCACACUCUGAACUAACAAAACUGUGGCUAUUCACUAUCAACAAUCCCUCUCAAAUACACUUCUACUAAUACAUUAACAACAAUAUCAUUAUAUUAACCAUAAAAUAUUACAUUUCUUCAGUUAAUACGUAGGACAAUAUAAUAAUCAGGUCACUCAGCUAAUGAAAAAAAUUAAACAACAUGAACUCAAUUAAAUAAUAUAAAACUUUUGAGUACUAGAUAAAAUAAGAAAAUUAAUAAAAAUUCAAUUUGAAAAUAAUCAAAUUUAUAAGAUACUUAAAACUUAAUUAAACCUACAAAUUUUCAUUAUAUGGAGUUAAAUACUAUAAAUAUUUACCACAUAAGUAGAAUGUUUAAAUAUAUAUUUCUUCACGUUGGAAGUUUUUUUCCUCUAUCUUAUAAGUUUUCUUUGUUUCUUUAAUAUUUUUUAAGCCAAUGUGAUUUUUUUAAUAUAAAAUAUUAUUAAAGAUAAAAUAUGAAGAUAGGGUAAUUAAAUAUAAUUUUUUAUUUUUUAGAAAUGAUGAAAAUUAUAAUUAAAUUAACUAAAUUAUAUAAAAUUCUAUUUCAUUUACAUAACUACUUUUCAUAUUAAAAAAACUAUAUAAGAUCUUGAAACUAUAAUUAAUAUUUCUACUCAUUUUUCGUUUUUGUUGGUGAAAUCUUGAUUUUGGGAUAGUAUUAGUGAGAUAUUGUUUGGAGUUAAAAACAAGAAAUUCUUUUGCAUAAUCAAUUUGAACAGUUUUGAUUUUGAAACCAGAUUUUCAGAGAAGAGUUUAAAGCGUUCAAAUGCAGCAAGAGCUUGAGAUUUAGCAUGCUAGAGAUAAAUUCAUGUAUAUUUUAAAUAUGCAUUAGGAAAAGAGAUAUCGUAUGAUGCAACAUUAUUAGCACAAACAACAAACAGCAGAACGUCCCCAAAUAUCAAUAUAGAUAAAUUCUAAAAGGUGAUUAUCCACACUGUUUUAGAACAACUUUGAUUACAGAAAAACUAUAACGCCCAAGUCUAUUAUGCCACAAGUGAAAAGAAGUUUUUUCAUAUUUAAAAGAUGUGUAGUUAGCAGAAAAAACAGAGGAUCAGAGAUCAAGAAAGACAGAGAGAUCAUCUUUAAGUGUGCCUUGUAGAAGAAUCUGUUUAGUUACUUAGUCUUUAACAUAGCAAGAAUGAGGGUGAAAUUCAAAAAACACAUUGUUGUUACGAGCAAACUUUGAAACACUAAGCAAAUUCUUAGUAUAAUGAGAAACAUGUAAAAGAUCAAGGAGAGAGAAGGAAGUACAAGAGGUAGACGACACACAGGAAGCAGAACCAAUGUGGGAGAUUUUUAUACCUGCACCAUUACCAAGUUUAACGUUCGCAAUGCCAUGAUAGAUUUGUUGAUCAUUGAACAGAGUAUGGUCGUUUGUUAUAUGGUGAGAGACACCGCUAUCUGGGUACCAUAAUGGAUCUUCUAAAGAUGAUGGUGGACCAAGAAGAGAGUAAGAAGAGUCAUCACGUGGAGGUGGAGAGAAAUGAGAUGUGUUUGCAGAGGAGGAUGGUGGUGUAGUACGAUCAAACCAGUGCCAACAAUGAAGAGCAGUGUGUCCAAGUUUGGAGCAUAUUUGACAGCGAACAGGGUUGCGUUUCCAUGAUGAAGACGUAGUGGAGUUCCAAGAAGAGUAUUGGGAAGGUCGGGGUUUGCCGCGGUUGAACUGAUUCUAGUUAGAUGUGGGAUUGUAACCACGACCACCACAGGAGGAGUUGGAAAAGGGGAGGUGGAGAGAAAUGAGAUGUGUUUGCAGAGGAGGAUGGUGGUGUAGUACGAUCAAACCAGUGCCAACAACAAUGAAGAGCAGUGUGUCCAAGUUUGGAGCAUAUUUGAGAGCGAACAGGGUUGCGUUUCCAUGAUUACGACAGUAAUAAAUGUAUUAUAUUCUUCAGAUAGCCUUCAAGGAUGAUGUCAAUAUGAUCAGUGGAAACAGGGGCAUCAAUAGCGGCAAGCAUGUUGACGGCGUUCUUGAUAUCAUGGAGAUAGGAGGAGAUGGAUCUGUGAUGACCUGAUUUUGUUGUUGGUACCAUUAGAGACUUGGGGACUGUCAUCAGUGGUGGAAGAAGUGGUUCUUGAUGGAACACUAGUGUCGUCAAGAAAAUGACCCAGUUUGAGCCCGCAAAUGGAGGCAAGGACUUGAUGUUUCCAGAGAAGAUAGUUAUCUUCAUCUAGUUUAAGAGUGAUGGGUGUUGUGAACUGUUGAACGGAAGGCAUGACCAGAGGUAACGGGCAAGAAGAAGAUGCAAAAGAAGAUGAAGAGAUAUGAGUGCAGUGCAUUAGAAUAGAGAGAGAAAGGAGAAAGAUAUUAUCUUAGUAUAUGUGCUAAAGGUAUAUAAGGAGUGCAGAACUGGAAACACUUACAAAGUUGUCGUUACACAGUUAUAGUAUGGUUAACAAUGUAUAAUACAGAAAACAUGCUUGUGUACUUUAUUUUUAUCUUUGAAAGUUUAGAACACAGAGGAACAUAGAUAGCUAGAAAAACCUGAUCUCCUUCCCAGAGUUGUUCAAGAUGGCAGCCUGGCAUUUCCAGGGUCACAGUCUGGCAUUUCCAGGGUCACUAGAUUUUGUGGGCAAAAGUUUGGAGGCCAGAAUCUUUGAGGGAAACCGUUCCAAUAAAGAAACUUUAGAGUGUCUGGCAGACCUACAAGAGAUGAUUCAAGAGACACAUUUGAUAUGAAUAUAGGCAUGUAGACCAUAAGCAUCAUAAGAUUGUCCAUCUUUUCGAAACUUUGUGCAUGUACUACAGCAUCUUUUACUUUGUUCGUAUGUAGUAAUAUACACUGUAUUGCAUCUGACCCCUGAAAGUAAAUCAAUUUAAUUAGGAGAAAAAAAACAUGAAAUGUUGCAUUGCAGGAUGUUUAAUGACAUCUCAGUGGUUUGCAAUUUUUUACAAAGUAAAUCCAUUCUCAAUUGAGUAACGACAUAAUACCUUGUUCUUUCUUAAAACCUCUCAAAUUUCCUCAGCAUUAAACAAUCGGCUGCGUUUUCCAGGAUGCUGAGGACACUCUUUACGAACAAUUUCUUGACUCAUUUCUNNNNNNNNNNNNNNNNNNNNNNNNNNNNNNNNNNNNNNNNNNNNNNNNNNNNNNNNNNNNNNNNNNNNNNNNNNNNNNNNNNNNNNNNNNNNNNNNNNNNGAUCCAUCUUUUUCUGCUGCUACCAUGUCGAACUCCCUUCAAAUCAAUACAAUGUCUUCACCAUCAAUCAGCCAAGUGAUUAAUGUUAAACUCACACAAGAAAAUUAUUUAUUGUGGUCUGCUCAAAUCCUUCCCUAUUUACGUAGUCAGGGGCUGGUUGGGUUUGUGGAUGGAUCCAUGCCACCACCAAACCAAACGAUUACGGUUGAGUCAAGUGAAGAAACAGGGAGCCGCAAAAUCCUGAAUUCACAGUCUGGUACCCCCAGGACCAGCUGGUACUCAGUCUCAUCAACUCAUCGGUUACCGAGGAAGUUCUCAGCACGGUGGUCGGAAUCACCACUGCACGAGAAGCCUGGGAUAUGCUGGAGCGGCAAUUUGCCUCCACAUCUCGAGCACGAGCAAUGCAGAAUCAUAUGGAACUCUCCACGAUCCAAAAGAAGGACAUGACAAUUGCUGACUAUUUUCGUAAAGUAAAACGUCUCGGAGACACUCUGGCUGCCAUUGGCAAGCGAGUAGAGGAUGAAGAACUCAUCGCCUACAUGCUGCAAGGACUUGGUCUAGAUUAUGAUCCUCUUGUCACAAGCAUUACAACUAGAACAGAUGUUUACACUGUCAGCGAUGUGUAUGCUCAUAUGCUGAGCUACGAGAUGCGUCAUCUGCGUAAUGGUACUCUUGAGCAAUUUCCUUUUGCUAACAAUGUCAACAGCAUGUCUAAUCGAGGAGGAACUAAUGGACGUCGUGGUGGUCGUGGUCGUCAAUCAAAUGGUGGUCGAGGACAAACAUGGCACACUAGAAACAAUUCUGGACGUCAGCCAUCAAAGGCACAAAGUAACUCAGACAAAGUCUGUCAGAUUUGUGGUAAGCCAAACCAUGAUGCUUUGCAAUGUUGGCACAGAUUUGAUCAGGCAUAUUAAGCCGAAGACAAUCUUAAACAAGCAGUUGUGGCCACAAGUGGAUAUACUGGUGAUGCAAACUGGUACGUAGAUACUGGAGCCACAGAUCACAUCACCAACGAGUUAGAAAGACUUACCACCAACGAACAUUACAAUGGCACUGAUCAGAUUCAAGUUGCAAAUGGCUCAGGUUUUUCUAUCUCUCAUAUUGGGAACUCAUUAAUUUCUGGUUCAUCUAGAUCUCUUGUACUGAAACAUAUCCUAUAUGCUCCUAAAAUCAAUAAACAUCUGAUUUCAGUACAAAGACUAGCAUCUGAUAAUAAUGCCUUUGUGGAAUUUCACCCACACUGUUUUUUUGUUAAGGACCGAGCCACGAAGGAACUUCUGCUCACAAGUAGAUGUAAGAAUGGCCUCUACACUUUACCAAAUAACUCCAGCAAAGCAUUCCCGACAGCCAAACUUUCGAAAGAACAAUGGCAUAGAAGACUUGGGCAUCCUGCUUUCCCAGUCACAAUUAGAAUCUUGAAAAAUAAUAACUUAGCUCUAGAUACUAGAGUUUCUUCUUCCUUAAUUUGCCAUGCUUGUCAACUAGAAAAGCACAUCAAUUACCCUUUGUUUCUUCUCAACAUGUAUCUACAGCACCUCUUCAAUUGAUUCAUACUGAUGUAUGGGGUCCAGCCAUUGUCUUAGUGAAUAAUUCUAAAUAUUAUGUUUCAUUUGUUGAUGAUUUUAGCAGAUAUGUUUGGAUUUAUUUUUUGAAAUACAAGUCUGAUGUUGAGUCUGUGUUUCAUCAGUUUCAAAAACAUGUUGAAACCAUGCUAAACACCAAAAUUCGCUCUGUCCAGUCAGAUUGGGGGGGUGAAUACCAUCGUUUGCACCAAUAUUUCAAAACAACUGGAAUUGAGCAUCGUCUUUCUUGUCCUCACACACAUCAGCAAAAUGGGUUGGUAGAAAGAAAGCACAGACACAUUGUGGAAACUGGCCUUACUUUACUUGCCCAAGCUAACAUGCCUUUGUCCUAUUAGGAUGAAGCCUUCAAUACAGCUUGUUACCUUAUAAAUAGACUACCAUCUCGAAUCAUACAAGCAAGACACACCACUUCAUAAAUUAUUUGCAAAAAAUCCAGAUUACACCAUGCUUAAGGUGUUUGGCUGUGCUUGCUGGCCCAAUUUAAGGCCUUACAACACCAAGAAACUGAGUUUUCGAACCACUAAGUGUGUCUUCUUAGGCUAUAGUUCUUCUCAUAAGGGAUACAAGUGCUUAGAUAGAAGUACAAAACGAAUUUACAUCUCUAGAGAUGUAAUCUUUGAUGAAAAUGUGUUUCCUUUUGAAGAAUUAAAUUCUAAGUCAUCAAUCCAAACCAAAAAUUCACACCAGCCUGCUCUACUUCCAACCUUCGUUAAACCCGUUCCAUACACUGAAAAUGCUCUCACAAAUAUUGAACCAGUUGUUAAUGAUUCUCGUAUAAUUGAUGGUCAAUCUAAUGAUGUUGCUAAUAACAACUUGUCUGGUAUAAGCUUACAUCCUGCAGAUAAUACAAUAAGUCCAGAAAUUGUUGCAGAACAGGAAGCUGAGAACAGUCUGACCAAUUUCCAAGAACAGAUGUUCNNNNNNNNNNNNNNNNNNNNNNNNNNNNNNNNNNNNNNNNNNNNNNNNNNNNNNNNNNNNNNNNNNNNNNNNNNNNNNNNNNNNNNNNNNNNNNNNNNNNGAACAAGAUUGAAAAAUAACAUUGUCCAAGCAAAACAGUUCACUGAUGGUACUGUCAGAUAUUCAGAGACCUCAAGAAAGUUUACCGGUGCUGUCACUGUCAAAAAUCCGACCACAAUAAAUGUACUAAAAAAUGCUACUGAGACUGAUACAGUUACUGAACCUCAAAACCUGCAGGAAGCUCUACAAAGUCCAGGUUGGCAGGAAGCAAUGAAUAAUGAGCUCUCAGCAUUACAACACAAUGAGACUUGGGAUUUCGUUCCACCAAAACCUGGCAUAAAUCUCAUUGAUAGUCGAUGGGUGUAUAAAGUGAAAAGGAAAGCGGAUGAAUCAGUGGAGAGAUUGAAAGCAAGGUUGGUUGCUAAAGGGUUCAAGCAAAGAUUUGGCAUUGAUUACAUUGAUACCUUUAGCCCCGUGGUCAAGCCAUCAACAAUCAAAGUUAUUCUUUCACUAGCAGUAACCAAAGGCUGGAAUAUGAGACAAGUUGAUAUCCAAAAUGCAUUCUUGCAUGGAAUUUUGGAAGAGGAAGUGUACAUGCGACAACCAUCGGGAUUUCAAGACCCAUAUAAACCAAAGGAAUACAUAUGCAAACUCAAGAAAGCGCUUUAUGGCCUGAAACAGGCUCCAAAGGCUUGGCACUCAAGACUGACUGGAAAACUUAUGGAAUUAGGCUUUAGAGCUUCUGUAGCUGAUUCAUCUUUGUUUAUCCUCAAAAACAAAGAGGUAACCAUCUAUAUGCUCAUAUACGUUGAUGAUAUAAUUAUCGUGAGCUCCUCUGAUCAAGCCACCGAAAGGUUGAUUCAGAAGUUGAAAAUAGAUUUUGCUAUAAAAGACUUAGGUGGUCUUGAGUAUUUUCUGGGUAUUGAAGUCAAGAAGGCAAGAGAUGGCAUCACANNNNNNNNNNNNNNNNNNNNNNNNNNNNNNNNNNNNNNNNNNNNNNNNNNNNNNNNNNNNNNNNNNNNNNNNNNNNNNNNNNNNNNNNNNNNNNNNNNNNAAAUUAUUCAAAGAGCAGGGAACACUCUUGUCAAUUGAAGAACAAUUUAAAUACAGAAGUACUGUGGGAGCAUUGCAAUACUUGACAAUGACCAGGCCUGAUUUGGCAUUUGCUGUCAACAAGGUUUGCCAAUACCUUCAUACGCCUACUGAUGCUCAUUGGAGUGUUGUAAAGAGAAUCCUUCGUUAUGUCAAGGGCACAUUAGAUUUGGGAAUCAGAAUUCAGAAGUCUCCAACAAUGCUGCUGUCCGGAUUUUCUGAUGCUGAUUGGGCUGGUUGUCCUGAUGAUCGACGUUCAACUAGCGGCUUUGCUGUAUUUCUUGGAGCAAAUCUAAUUUCUUGGAGCUCUAGAAAACAAACCACAGUGUCCAGAUCGAGCACCGAAGCAGAAUACAAGGCCAUUGCGAAUCUGACAGCAGAAAUGAUUUGGAUAAAAUCAUUAUUGAAAGAGCUUGGUGUGUAUCAAUCAAAAGCUCCUCGACUCUGGUGUGACAAUCUAGGAGCUACAUACUUAACUUCAAAUCCAGUGUUUCAUGCAAGAACAAAACAUAUUGAAGUUGACUUCCAUUUUGUUCGAGAACAAGUGGCACGCAAAGCAAUGGAAGUUCAGUUUAUUUCAUCAAGUGAUCAAGUGGCUGAUAUCCUAACAAAACCACUGUCUAGAACUCUCUUUAUUACACAUUGUAACAAUCUCAACAUGUAUAAAACCUGUUGGGAUUGAAGGGGACUGUUAGAAUUAGUCAGUUAGAAGUGGAACACGUUUGUAGAAGUGGAACACGUUAGUUGGUUAGUUGCCUUAAGAAGCGGAUCAUGGAUCCAACCGUGUAUGCAAUCAGUUACCUUUCUUUAAUUAUAAAUACAAUACGUCCUCCACAUAGAGAGGUACAGUUAGCAAACUUUAUUAGAGCUGAAUCGGUAACAUCAUCAAGAAUGAGGAGAACCUUUGUCCGUUUGAGCCUUUCAUUGUAAUAUGGUGAAGAAGAGGAUUUCUCUUCCUUUAGAAGCUCAGACUGAUAUUUUGUUCUGAUACUGUCUAUUCCAUCUCUUUGUAUUUUUUCUUGAACGUCUAAAACAAGGCUGCUGGAAUCAAACUGCAAUGCCAAUUUGUGAUAUAUUUGAUUACAAAUUGUAGUUUUUCCUAUUCCUCCCAUGCCACAAAUUCCUAUGAUCCGAACAUCCGGUGACUCAAGAUGCAACAAGGACUGAAUUCCUUCAAUAUGUUUUUCAAUGCCGAUGAUUCCUUGAUCAUAACUGAUGGAAUAACGAUUCAAUUUUUUCAACAAGUGUGUGUUCUGUGCUGGCAGAUGAUUUAGAAAAUAAUGUAUAAGUAUUCAAGCACAAAAGCUAAACUAAAGAAAAAUUCUACAGCAUCCGUUUGUGACUUCUGAUACUAGGGAGAAGACUUGUAGGUACAAAGUUAAGCUAUAACAUGUAAUAUGGUUCAGAUCUAAGACCGACUAAUAGAAAUGAAAAAAGAAGCACUUGAUUUAGGGUGAGAUGAACACAAUUUUAGUAAAUGAAAAGAGAUCCUGAUUAUCUGGAAAGUGCGUGACCUGGUGACUUUUGAAUCCCAGCCUGCAAGUUCAGCAGCUUCGGUGAGAGCAUCCUUCCAUCCUUGCACUUUAUCGUGCUUAAAGUGCUGCUCAUGCUUUUCGAAUGCUUCUUUGUAUCUUUGUUCCUGCUUCCUAAUAGUUGAUGGAUCCACCUUGUAGAAAACAGGUAUGACAUCCCUUCCAAAUCUCUUCUUGCAUUCAAGUAUCUUAGUGAGUUCAUUCAAGCACCAAGUGGAAGAUGCAUAGUCUUGGGAGAAAACGAUGACAUAAAUCUUUGAAAAAUAAGUAUGAAAUCUAGAUAUAUAUCAUUAUCACGUGUGGAAGCUACGUCGUCUUGUAUUGGAUUUUCUAAUCUGCCUUUUAUCUUGUCUCAUUCUUCUUUAUCUUUUUUCUCUCAUCUCUCUUGCUUACGAUUUCUUUGCCUUUAUUCAGAAAUUUUAGUUAUAAUAAACCUUCAAUAAUAUUUGUACUUUCUAGCAUAUAGAAUACUUAAUGGAUCCUUUUCUGAUUUUUCUUUUCUAAAGUUCAAUUGAUUUUUUAAAUGUUUUUCUAUUUAAUUUUCCUUUCUUAAUGACACAUAAAAUGGUUCAGUGCACAAUUAAUUAUUCUCACCUUAGAUUUCAUUCAUCUCAUUCCAUUUCCACACUCAAAUCAUUCUCACAUUUGUUUCUACCUGUUUCACAAAGUUUUAGUUAAAAUAUGGAAAUUAAUGUUCAAGAACCCUACUUAAUAUUAAUAUUCAACAAUUUAAAAUAUUAAAAUGCAAAUUAAUCUUUCUUAAUAAUGUCAUUUUUAUGUAAAAAAUAAAAUGUAGUUUAGUCAUUUAUACUUAGAUGGAUAAAGAUGAUUUUAGAAAAAAAAAAUGCAUUUUAUUUCAAAGGUUAACUAAACUCUGAACUCAUUUAUGAAUUAAUAAUAAUAAAUAAUAUGUAAUUGUAUUCCAAUACCAUAUAAAUUUUUUUUAUUGGGUGCGUUUCUGAUGAAUUAAUGCACUCUAGGGACAAUGAUCGCUCUAGUAUUUGAUUUUUUAUUUAUUUUAAUGUUAAAAUUAUAGCUAUGUAGUACAGAUAUUACUGACACAGACAGACACGAACACGGACACAGAAAUACAUAAAAUCUCUAAAAUGUAGAAUACGGAGACAUUAAUCUAUAUAUUAUAUAAUUAUGAAUCAUAUAAAUUAACAAUAAAGAUUUAUGUGCACAAGUAUUUUUGAGAUUAUUUUUUAGAACAGAAAUAUGUUUUUCAUGACUAGUUCACAAAUAUUUGUUUCUUAUUCUUAUAAUCAUAAUAACAAUUUAUACCAUAAAGUUUCAAUUUUAGAAAAUUAAUGUAUUUUUUCUUUUUAAAAUUUCGUUAGAACUGUACUAGAAUUGUAAAAAAUCUAACAAAUACAUUUUGAAUUGGACAUUCCACGAAUACGUGUCCUACCAGUAUUUUGAACAACAUUCUUUCUUUUGGAACAAAGAGGGCAUAUGCCGCAGUCUUUUACUGUGAUAACUCAUUUCAACUCUCACACAACUGAUUCGUAAUCUGUGGGAUGCAUUAAAGCCUUUUGCAGUUAAAUCAAUAGUAUAUGAUGAUGUGAAUGUUAUUUAUAUACUAAAUAUAAUCACAUAGUAACUUCAAAUUUGAUAAGGUACAACAUGUUACCAUAUCUCUUUUAAUUUAUUUUAUUUCAUUAUAUAUUUAGGUGUAUUUAAUUUCUUUUAUUUCAUUGUGUAUUUAGGUGUAUUACGUAAAAUAUAUAAUUAAAAAGAAAGAAGAAUAAUGUUAUUUUGAAAUUUAAAGAAGACAUAUAGAAAUAAACAAGCUUUUGCUAAGAUUCCACCAUUGAAAAGGAACAUAGAACAAUCUUGACAAUUAUACUUUGACUUAUUUUAAUUUCUUAUAUUUAUGAGUAUUAUUUUUUCUUAAACAUAGAUAUUGGAUAAAAAAUACAAAUAACAUUUCUUUAUUUCAAAUUUAAAAAUAUUUUAAAUUAAAAUAAAAUAAUUUUUUAAUUAAGAUAUAACAAAAUAUUCUUUAACAAAUUAUUUUAAUUUCAAAAUAAUUAAUUCAGAGGACGAUUGAAAAAAUAUUAAAUAUUAUAAUAAAGCUUCAAUAAUAUUUGUACUUUCUAGCAUAUAGAAUACUUAAUGGAUCCUUUUAUGAAUUUUCUUUUCUAAAGUACAAUUGAUUUUUUAAAUGUUUUUCUAUUUAAUUUUUCUUUCUUGACACAAAAUGUUCAGUGCACAAUUAAUUACUCACCUUAGAUUUCGUUCUUCUCUUUCCAUUUCCACACUCAAAUCAUUUUCACCUUUUUUUUCUUCUUAUUUCACAAAACUUUAAUUAAAAUAUGGAAAAUAAAGUUCAAGAACCCUGCUUAUAUAUUAAUAUUCAAAAAUUUAAAAUAUUAAUAUGCAAAUGAAUAUUUCUUAAUAAUUUUAUUUUGAUGUAAAAAAUAAAAUGUAGUUUAGUCAUUCAUACUUAGAUGGAUAAAGAUGGUUUUAGAAAAAAAAAAAGAAUAUGCAUUUUAUUUGAAAGGUUAUCUAAACUCUGAACUCACUGAUGAAUUAAUAAUAAUAAAUAAUAUGGAAUUCUAUUCCAAUACCAUAUAGGAUGGAGAAAAGUAAGAAGAGGAUUUACACAUUACCCUUUCAAAUGGAGCUCCUCAGGAUUUCAUAAUGCCUUCACUGCAAAUGCAACCCAAAUAUGCUAAAAAAGUUAAUGAAACUAUAUAUGAAGAGUUAAUGAAACUAAAUGGCGUGUGCUGAAAUUUUUGAUCCGAUAACCAUGCCCACAUUCAAAAAGUGAAAGGUUACUUUGCUUUAUAUUCCUUUGGGUGGUGCUACUUUUCAACUUGACAACAAAUUCCCAUUAUUGUGUGGUUAUCAAUUACCAUUUAACUUAUUCUCAUACCACAUUCACUAUAUAAUAGUCCAUCAUAAACCCCAAAAUUUGCACAUUUUCUAUUUGCAAGACAUCCAACAGACAAAGAAAACAUGUGAAACUGUGUAAUAAUGUGAGAACGUAAGAACUUACUUCAUCAUGAAAUCAAGCCAUGCCUGAGGGUUUUUUCUGAGAGCAUUCACCACAGGUGCAUAUUCAUGUGGCUGUAUCCCAUACUCAGCUAGUAUUUCUGCUACCUCUGCCGCUUCUUUUUUUGUCAAAAAACACAUAUUCAUUAUUAAUGUGCAAUCAAAUGGUAACGAAACUAUGUAGUACAAACACACACUGAUACGACACUAGGACGAACAUACGUAUAAUGUUACUCCUUCUAUGGAAAUGAAGGAUAUUCAGCAAUAACUUUUAAAACUCAUUACAUAGAAAUUUGCAUCAAGUUAUCAAAGUCUAUAGGAAUGAAUUUUCAAUUCAUGGAAACACAGAUAACAAAAAGUAAUAGAAAAAUAGAAAAAAAGUUGUCAAAUGAUUCUAUAAAAAAUUAACCUAUCAUGAAAAUCAAGAUGAUAGAAAAUAAAAUAAUGUGGCAUGAACAUCAAAAUCGUAUAAAAGCAUAAUAGAAGAACAGUGGAUACCAGUUUCUGGCACGGCGAUGAUUUCUUCUUGCUCUCUUUUCAAUUCCCUCGAGUAAUUAUCGGCUUCACUUUUUGCUGCCAAAUAACUGCACAAUGAAAAUUAACAUGAAAUAAUAACGGAAUUUAAAUUGAGUUUUGUGAGUGUGAAGAGUGUGGUUGAACGUACCCGCCGAGGCCCAUGGAGAUGGCGCCGGCGGCGACUUCCGCUAUGCCAGCGGUGAGAACGAUGGAGGAGGUGACAUUGGCGCCGGAGAGGCCGGCGGCGAGGGCGAAGGGGACGGUGAGGCCGUCGGAAACGCCGAUGAUGAUGUCGCGGACUAUUUCGCCGGCGGUGAAGUGCUUCUCGGUGUGGUGGUUGAGAAGGUUCGUUCUCUCAGAAUCCACGCUUAUGCCGUGUUCGGUGGCGGCCAUUGGUGCAAGCUUGUGAAUGUGUUUGAGUUCGCCAACGUGCUCUGGGAAUCCAAACAAAGCCUUGCUGCUUUGCACAUAAAUUGAGCCUCUUUUGUGCUCAACUUACUCCUAAAUAGAACAAAAAUAUCUAACCGUUGAUGAUAUCCACGUGGAAAAUUAUCAAUGGAUAUCAAUAUCACAUUAUUUCUACACUAAUAUUUUAAUUAUUUUUAAAUAUUAUAACUAAAUCAAUCAAUAUAAUACCAAAUCUUCUUAAUUCUUUGGAUUAUAUAUAUUUUAUUUUAUUUUAUUUAUAAAGGAAGUUGUGAUAAAUGUUGUGUUUUGUGUGCACAUUAAUAAAAAUCAAAUAACCAAAAAAUAAUAAUCUUGUGAAAGAAAAAAUGGUAGAAUUUAUACUAUUCUACAAAAUUUUAAAAGUGGCUAAUGUGUUUUACUCAACUAUGUAAAUAAUUUUGGACUCUCUUGUUAAGGAAAUAAUGAAAUACAUUAAAUUUUGUUUUAUACUCUUACUUUAAGUUUUUUUGUGUUUCUCCUGACUUAAUUAAAUAUCAGAGAGUCGUCUUUUGCAGGUAGAUUUCAUUCUAUCAUAAUAUACCAACUGAAAACUUGUUUUCUGAAAAACACACGGCUCUCACCGAAUUGCACUUUCCAAUUUUUUUUAAUAGAAAUAAUAAUAAUUAAGUAUUUGUGUUCUUAUAUUUAAUUUUUAAUAAAAAAAUUAUUCUUAUGUACUUCUAAAUUGAUAUAUUUUACCAAUGUCUAUUAACAAUGGGAAGAAGUUUAUACCUAACAAAACUAUUUAACAUGAUUUGUUUGUAAAUUAUAGAAGUAUGUGUAGAAAGAUAUAAAAUUAAUGUUUUAAGAGAAAUUUAAGCAACUUUCAUAAUAUAUUGUAGAUUAUUAGUUGAAUUUAUGGAAAUUAAAAAUAAAUUGUAGGUCACCACACUUCCACUUUUUUUUAAUGAUAUCAAAUCACAACUUUACAAUUUUCACUAAUUUUUAACCAAUAACAAAAGAACAUCUUAGAAGAAGUGUGUUUAAGAAUUUGAUGUUAACUCUCAUUGUUUUUUAAACUUAAAUCCAGCUUUAUUCUUCAACUUUUAAUUUUUAUACAUAUUUAAUUGUAUAUAUAGUUUUUAACUCUCUAAAAUCAAACAAUUUUAAUUCAUUAAAUAGGCAAUGUCAUGAGUGUUAAACUUUUAACAUUUUUCUAGUAAUUAAAUUACUUAUGAAGAUUCAACUAAUUCAAAAUUUAAUAUUUUUACAAUUUUUAUUAUAAUAUUCUUAAAAUAUAUUUUAAUAUUUUGUUUUUCAUGUUUGAAAUAUAAAUGUUUUAAAAAAUCAUUUUAAAUUAUUUUGUUUCUCAUCUUAUGUAAUAAAUUACUAUAAUAAUUACUAAAACAUUUAAUACCUAUACAUUUUUAAUGAGCAAAAACUAAUAAUGAAUUAUAACAAAUAAAAAACGUUUCUGGGCAACAAAAUAGUAAUUAAUAUGAAUUAUAACAAAUAAUGAACGUUUUGUGGUAAUUUGUUUCACUUUCAAAUAAGUUAGUACUUCGCCUGUUAUUUCAUAACGGUAGUUUUUUUAAAUAUAUUAAGAAAAAUGUUUAUUUUUUUAUUUUUAAUGCACUUUUAAGUAACUUGCCUAUUAUAUUAUAUUAUAUGGGUAUUAUAUAUAUAUAGGUAAGCACCAAAAAAUAAAUUUAAGGUAAAAGUGAUAUAAUUAAAAUAAAAUAAAUUAUUAUUAAAUAGAAAAUAUAUAUAAUUAAAAAAAUCAGUUAUUUAAGUUUUAUUUUAAAAUAAUUUUUGUAAAAAAAUUUUCUUUUUUUCCUUGUUCACGAUUUUAAAUUUUAUAUUCACUUGGUAGACAUGUUUUGCAUGUGGUGUUUGGGACUUAAAAGAAUAAUAUAUGUUAGUUCAAGAUCCUAAUGAUGUGUUUUUAAGAAGUUGGACUAUCUUUGUUUUUUUAAGAAGUUGAAGUCUUUUUAUGAAUACUUAUCUUUUUAAACAGGUAAGAUAAACUAGUUUUAUCUGUAAAACUUAAGUUAGAAUAUCUGAAUAUGAAAUGUGAUUCUUCAUAUGAUUAUGAUUGAAUGAUUCAAAAUUCAAGUAUAAAGUUUUAAGAAUCAUUAACUUAUGUUUUUUUUUUUGUGCUAUUUUUUUGAUUUUUUGCAAUGAUUGUGUGUUGCAUGUGAGCAAAUGAUGUUACAAGUUGUAAACCUAAAAAAAAAUCAUGAAAUUUUGUCUUUUUUAUUCUUUUGAUAUUUUAUCUUAAUGAUAUAUAUAUAUAUAUAUAUAUAUAUAUAUAUAUUUAAAAAUCUCUAUAUGAAAGGAUAGUAUUUUAUGAUAUAAUAAUAUGAUAAUGUAAAUGUUAUUUAUAUAAUAAAUAUCAUGAGAUAAUUUAAAUUUUGAUAAGAUAAAUGAAGAUGUUACAAUAUCUCUUUUAAUUUUUUUUUAUUUCAUUAUAUAUUUAGGCGUAUUUAAUUUCUUUUAUUUCAUUGUAUAUUUAGGUGUAUUACGUAAAAUAUAUAAUUAAAAAGAAAAAAUAAUGUUAUUUUGAAAUUUAAAGAAUGACGUAUAGAAAGAAACAAGCUUUUGUUAAAAUUCCACCAUUGAAAAGGAACAUAGAACAACACUCUUGACAAUUAUACUUUGACUUAGAUACUUAUUUUAAUUUAUUAUAUUCAUGAGUAUUAUUUUUUCUUAAACAUAGAUAUUGGAUAAAAAUUAAUAAAAUUUAUUUAUUUCAAAUUUAAAAAUAUUUAAAAUUAAAAUAAAAUAAUAUUUUUAAUUAAGAUAUAAAAAAAUAUUCUUUACAAAUUUUUUUAAUUUCAAAAUAAUUAAUUCAGAGGAUGAUUGAAAAAAUAUUAACAAUCUAUUUAUGCGUUUAUAGUAAACCUUCAAUAAUAUUUGUACUUUCUAGCAUAUAGAAUACUUACUGGAUUUCUUACUCUUUCUUUCUACACCUCUAUCCAUACUAAAUAUAAAAAUACCAUUUUAUUCUUUUUUCUCCACCCCUUGAAUUUGAAAUAAUAAGCCCAUGGAUUAUGUAAUCUGGAUAUAUUCCGGAUUAGUCAAUUUCAUAUUUAGAAAAGACUUUCGGAUUAUGUAAUCCAGAAGCUAAUAAAACAUCUGAAAAAAAGGCUUCCGGAUUACAUAAUCCGGAAGCUAAUCUUAUGUAUAGAAAAGACUUUCGCAUUAUGUAUUCCGGAAGCUAAUCACAAAAGACUUCUGGAUUACAUAAUCCAAACGCUAAUUCUAAAUCUAGAAAAAAGACUUCCGGAUUAUGUAAUCCGGAAUAUUAAAAAAGAUAUUUUUGAAAUACGAAAAAUUUAUGGGGGUGACACAAGAAGGUAUGGAGGUGCAGGAAGAAACAGCCUGGAUUCCUUUUGUGAUUUUUCUUUUCUAAAGUACAAUUGAUAUUUUAAAUGUUUUUCUAUUUAAUUUGUCUUUCUUAAAUGACACAUAAAAUGUUCAGUGCACAAUUAACUACUCACCUUAGAUUUCGUUCUUCUUUUUCCACUUCCACACUAAAAUCAUUUUCACAUUUUUUUUACCUAUUUCACAAAAAUUUAAUUCAAAAAUGGAAAUUAAAGUUCAAGAACCCUACUUAUAUAUUAACAUUCAACAAUUUAAAAUAUUAAUAUUCAAAUUAAUCUUUCUUAAUGUUAUGAAAAAUUUAAAAUGUAGUUUAGUCAUUCUUGGAUGGAAAAAGAUGGUUUUAGAAGAAAAAAAUGCAUUUUAUUUGAAAGGUUAUCUAAACUCUAAACUCAUUGAUGAAUUAAUAAUAAUAAAUAAUAUGGAAUUCUAUUGGAAUAGCAUAUAAAUGUUUUGUUGUUGAAACUGAUAAUUGGGUGCGUUUCUGAUGAAAUUAAUUAAUGCAGUCUAGGGACAAUUAUCGCUCUAGUAUUUCAUUUUUUUAUUUUUAACGUUGAAAUUAUAAUUAUACAAUUCCGUUUUUAGAUAUUAAAAUGAUAGUUUUCAUUUACAGAUUAAAAUAUUACUUGUUUCUUUUAAGAUUUUUUUGGUAUUAUAAUUAUUUGUUAGCUGAAUUGUUUUGCGUUAACAUGUUGUUUUCUUGGGCUAUGAUGUAAGCAAUAUAAAUGUUAUUUUUAAUGUAAGCAAUAAAAAUUAUGAGUAUUCAAAGUCGUGUAAUUACUUAAAAGAAUCAAGUGAUUUUUAAAAGAACUCACACGAUCAGUUUUAAUUUUGACGAUAAAAUAUAUUAGUUAUAUAUAUUUAUUCAAAAUUUCAAUUAUACUAUGCAUUUAUGGUUUUAUGCUUUUAGAGGAAUCAGUAACUUAGAAAAGCUCCCAAAAACUAAUGAAAUCCCAUGAAUGAAGAAGGAGAACAAAUGGAAGUGAAAAAUCAGUAAGAUGAUAAUUAAUAAACACCCUCUCUUAAUAACAUAACAUAGGAGUCUUUAAACUUAUAUUCUUCAAACAAUUAUAAGCUGUCUUCAACUUUACUGUUAAACUACAAUUAUAAAGAAUUAACAAUCUCACACACCAACAACAUUUAUAAGUCAUCACUCACAUGCAACAAGGUGUGCCUCAAUGUGAAAAAACCAAGAUCAAUAAGAAAUGAGGUUCCACUUAACCAAGCUGAGAAUUGUCUGGUUUUCCAGCUCCAUGCACAAACCUAAUACAAUGAUAUGAUAUUCAAUACCAAGAGGUACCUUGUCGUAAAACUGAGAAUAUGAGGUUGCAUAGGAUGGAGAAAAGUAAGAAGAGGAUUUACCAAUUACCCUUUCAAAUGCAGCUCCUCAAGAUUUCAUAAUCCCUUCACUGCAAAUGCAACCCAAAUAUGUUAAAGAAGUUAAUGAAACCGAAAUAUGAAGAGUUUCAAAAUAAAAAUUUAACAUGUUGAAACUUGUAAUUUAGAAGUAUUGACUAUAAGGCAGUUUAGAUCCUGACCAAUGAAAGACUAAUAAGCAGAAGAGGAAGAGACUAGUUGACUGGCUAGCUUUCGGCCUUCCACUUCCUAUCUUCCCUUGUUUCUCUUGAAGACUGUGCAACAUUGCUUCCACUGGAUUCUUCAAUCUCAACAGCACCACCAUAUUCAUCAUCUUUCUUUUUCGUAUAAAGAGGGCAUAUGCCGCAUUCUUUUAUUGUGAUAACUGAUUUCAACUCUCUCACAACUGAUUCGUAAUCUGGCCACCCAAAGUCAUAAUCACACGGACUGAUCUCAAAAGUGAAGCUGCGAGCAUCACAUAGCCUGAGGCUCAUGCCGCUCGCCCUUAGGGACUCCAAGUUAAAUUUCCACACGAAUGUGUGAUCUUUAUCAACACAUCUCUCUUCACCAUUCCAUUUGAAAUAGCUGUUUAACACAUCAUUAUUUGGAAUGAUCUGUGUGCCAUCAUCAUCAGAUUCAAAUGUUAGGCUGUAACUAAAAGAACCAUAUCUACCAUUCAUAGCAUACGUAUCUAACACUCCAAAAACCACACUCAAAGCGAAACCAGUGAGCCUAUCAUCGCUGCAGAAACUUAAAUCUUCAUUUAUAGUCACUGAAUGUCCCUUCCCACGAAAAUUGAACCAACCAGGAACUGCACUCCCUGGAAAACAGAAGAACACACACCUAUAUGCAUCGUCGGUCAUCCUAAGCCUUGCAUCCUCCUCAAUGUUAGCACGACCACCUGAAUCCAGUUGUUGAGCAUUGGUGAAAUGAAAUUUAAAUACACCCUCUUCGGAAUUUGAGAGGUUUCGAACAAGAGAAUUUGGCAUCACUCUUCUAAUGGAUGGGCAAUCCAAUGCCACGAGUUGUUUCAGAAAUGGUGGAAUCUGUGGGAUGCAUUCAAGCUUUUUGCAGUCGCUUAAAUCAAGCGAUUUCAAACUUGAAAGAUGAGCAAUGCUCCCAGGAAGGUUCACGAUUCCGCUAUUACGCAGUGAAAGUUUCAUUAAUGACGUCAAACGACCAAUGUGUCUAGGGAUUUCUGUUAAUUUGGGGCACCCCGAACAAUCAAGUUUAGAGAGAAGCUUCAGAUUAACAAUGCAGUUUGGAAGUGAGUCG
RNAcentral lists this long non-coding RNA (75993 nucleotides) under Phaseolus vulgaris (common bean). Its description in RNAcentral is "long non-coding RNA (PVUL_LNC004765)". The stretch from base 61421 to 61559 matches the Rfam family "Small nucleolar RNA Z247". The record is from RNAcentral. Lineage: Eukaryota; Viridiplantae; Streptophyta; Magnoliopsida; Fabales; Fabaceae.